CUUUUGCUUUUGUUGUUGUUUGCAGGACCUGAUGAAGUCAACGGAGACGGAAAGCUUCCAUUUUGGUGCAAGGCGUAGCUGGCGGUGGCAGACCUCGGGCGACGAGUGCGCUGGAGGCACAUGGGUAGCAAGAUGCGGCGCACUAGGGUUUCUAGGUUUCUGAUUUUUGCUGAAAUUGUUUUAAUUUUGGGCCAUCUGGGCCUUGUUAUUUUUCGGGUUUGGAAUUUGGGUUGUAAUUUUGGGCCUGGGCAUAAAUUGGGUCUUACAGCUGCCCCUCUUUGCUCGUUGUCGUGUAACGGGAACAGAGCAAAGACUAAGAAAGACCAAUUUUGCCCGGUCUCAUCGAGUCUCGACUUCUUUUAACACUUCUCCUCUUCACGUAGUGUUAUCCCAGUCCGCUUCGACCCACUCCAUUGCAGUUCAAAAAGAUCUGACUUGUAGCUCCAAUCUUCUUCGCCGUAACUUCAGGGGGACGAUGUUUGUGGUUUUAGCCUGCUCCACUGUAACUUCAGGGAGAUAAGACUGGUUUCUUUUGUCUGCUCCACUACUACUUAGAGAGAUAAGACUUGAUGUGAUCUGCUCCACUACUGCUUAGGGAGAAAAGAUCUUAAAUCUUCAAUCUACUCCACUACUACUCAGGGAGAUAGGAUUGGUGGCUUAAAUCUGCUUCUCCACUAUCUUGGGAAAAUAAGAUUUACCAUCUUCGAUCUGCUCCACUACUGCUUAGGGAGAUAAGAUCUGCAAUCUUUGACCUACUCCACUACAGCUUAGGGAGAUAGGAUCUACCAUCUUUGACCUACUCCACUACUGCUUAGGGAGAUAGGACUGGUGGUUUUGAUCUACUCCUUUAACCAGCUCCACUGCAACCGAUGGAGGCAAGGCUUUGUUUUUUUUUCUGCUUCGCUGUUCACGCAGGAAGGCAAAAUCUGCUUCUUUAACCAGCUCCACUGCAACCGAUGGAGGCAAGGCUUUGUUUUUGAUCUACUUCGCUGUUAACGCAGGAAGACAAAAUCUACUUCUUUAACUAGCUCCACUGCAACCGAUGGAGGCAAGGCCUUGUUUUUGAUCUGCUUCGCUGUUAACGCAGGAAGGCAAAAUCUGCUUCUUUAACCAGCUCCACUGCAACCGAUGGAGGCAGGGCUUUGUUUUUGAUCUGCUUCGCUGUUAACGCAGGAAGGCAAGAUCUGCUUCUUUAACCAGCACCACUGCAACCGAUGGAGGCAAGGCUUUAUUUUUUUGAUCUGCUUCACUGUUCACGCAGGAAGGCAAAAUCUGCUUUUUUAACCAGCUCCACUGCAACCGAUGGAGGCAAGGCUUUGUUUUUUUUUAUCUGCUUCGCUGUUAACGCAGGAAGGCAAGAUCUGCUUCUUUAACCAGCUCCACUGCAACUGAUGGAGGCAAGGCUUCGUUUUCGAUCUUCACUGGUCUACUCUUUAGGGAACAUGAUAUGUCUAAUGAACCUAAUUAUGCCUAAUGAUUAGGAUGACAUGAUCAAAAUGAAUCAAACGCUCCUAACUAGACAUGUAUGAAUGGUGUUUGCAUGAAUGCAGAAUUUUAUCUUUCCGAGAAUGCUCCCGCUUAGGUUGUUAUUACUCGAAGUUUAUUAAGGCCUUGUGACUGACGUGCUACGAUGCCUUCUCGCUUGACUGGCUUUUCUGAAGAAACAUUUAGCCAGGUUGCCCCCAUCGUAAACCUCAGAGUUUAAUCCAUUGGGGCACCAAAUUUGUACCAUCAUUUUCCACUGUAAUCCAAGAGUAGAGAUAUAUGGCUUUCCUCAAUCCUCUCUUAUCACAAUUCAAGGAUACAGGAUCCGAAUCGUUAUGGUCUCUUACACUAAUGCUAAGGUGUUGUACCAAAGACAUGCGCAAAUGAAGGCUCUCUUCUCCGAGGUAGCCUCUUCCUAUUUGCCUGGUGAUCAUUGCAUCUUGUCACUUUCCUCAAUCAAUGUUCUUGUCAACAAAAUCCAAAGAGAAAGUCUAAGUUUAGACUCUUCCUUCUCAAAUUUCCAACCUUUAAAAUUGAUGUGUUCUAAACAAUAGUCCUGUUUCAGGCUCCUAUAUUGUUUAGAAACUUUUCAAAGUAAUAUGCAAAACUUCCUUUGUGAAAGUUUUAUUAGUCCAUUAAUCAUUAUUCCAAUACAACAUGCUUGCAAAAAGGGUCAUAACAAUGGAUAAGAAUAAAGUUGGUUUUGAGCAUAGCUCAAAAGAACAAGUUAUCCAAAAAUAGUAAAGAAGGAUGACAAAGAAAUUGAUUGGGAAUGUAUAUCUUGGAAAAGAAAAAAGGUAUUCCAAGAACAACAAAUAAUAUGAGAAUUGGGUGCCUCAGAUGUCGCAACUUGAACUUCUCCGUACAAACUUUCUGAAGACCAUUUUGAGUUUGACAUGUGUUUAGGAGAUCUAUAGUGCUUUGUCGAUGCCCCAAGAUGUCGCUUAUCCCUUCCUGUUGAUUCAGGUAUAGCAAGAUCACCACAUGCCCCAAUAUGAUCAAAAUACGAAUCGUUCUGAUCGCCUCAUGCCCUACUUUAAUCAAUAUUUGAGCCGCCCUUUUCGGGUUUUCAACUUAAAUCCCCUUUAGUCUAAGGUGCCCUUUGCGGGUUUUUCCCUUAGCCUCUCCAUUUUACUUUUCAAUUUUUCAUUUUCAUUUUUCAUCUCUCUUUUUUGAACUUCAUUGUCUUGCAAUACAGUGACAAACCGUGGUGCUUGAUUUUGAACUGAUUACAUCCCUCAGCUGUCGUGUUGCCAUUCCAGUUCAAUGUAUUUUUCAAUACCAUCCUCUCUGGAAUUCUUUAUCGGCAUAUGAUGACAUUGACGCAUGCAGUAGCCUCUAUCCAUUUGAUGAAGUAAUUAAUGAUCCCAGUAGUGAAGCAAUGCCCAUUAGAAGUCUUCGAUAAUGGUGAUGUCCAUGCUCUAUUUUGCUCGAAAUUUGAGUCGCCCCUUUCGGGUUUUCAACUCAAAACCACCUUUGGUCACAAAGCGCCCUUUUUGGGUUUUCGCCUUGGCCUCUUCUUUUCUUUUUUUUGCUUUUCAUAUUUUUAUUUUGACUUUGAUUGAUUUCUCUUUUUCUUUUUGUUUUUUAUUUUGAUUUUGAUUUUGAUUUUUUUCUCUUUUUCUUUUCCUUUUUUUCGAAUCGGAUCUGAAGUCUUGGGAUUAGGCAAGUCCUUGUUAUCCCUUUCAAAGGAUCUCCUCUGAUAUCGGAUUUCCCUUAUAGAGCCUUUUGGGGCAAAACUACAACUGGAAACUUUUGAUCUUUCUCUUCCAUCAGGAUAAAAUCCAACAUCUUAAAGGGAUAGAAACUCGACUUCAAACGGGCAAAACUAUGCUGAAUCGACGAGAACGGCAUUGCCCCAGCAUAGAAUUGUAUCGUGUUGUUGUGCAGAUUUCUUUAUCAGUGCUUGACCCGGCAUCUCCUGAUGUGAUCCUACAAAGACCUCUUUAAAUAAGGUCUUACUUCAUUUUUGAGGACAAGUCAAUUCUAAUCUUCACCAAGCUCAGAAUUCCUAAUGAUUCAUUGAGAGGUAGGAUCUGUCUAUCCUCCUACUCAACCAUCCUCAAUAAGUCCGGAGGUAAGCUACAAUCUUUGUCAUUUUCAAAGUCCUGAGAUCCCUCUGCACACAUGCCUUGCUCAAAAGAAAAAUCUAGGUGUGUAGCAGAGUCAUUCACGGCAUUGAUAUCUGAGGACCCAUUAUAUGCACCGAAGAAUAUACAAAAGAAUGUAUAAAUUUAUGAAUGAUUAUUUACAAUAUGAUUAUGAAUGAAUGAUGGUUUGGAAGAAAAUCCAAAAGAAUGAAAGAAUAUAGAAUUAUCCGUAAAGAAAAUAAUCGUAAAGAUGUAUUUCAUAAUAACGUUCAGACAUAAGCCUAUUUCACAAAGGAAUUUCUAUCAUUUCUAGGCUAAGAACAACAAAAAUGUUCUGAACAUUACUUUAAAAAGCUCUAGAGACUAUAGGGUUUUCUUCUGCAGUCGAAUUGCUUAGAACACUUCUAUGUUUAUAAGGGAAAAUAUCUAACAGGGUCCCUUCUUCAGUUGCUUCUGCAUUGCAUUCACUCCACUUAUCAAUUAUGAUUGGGUAAUGGAGUUUCCGCACUGNNNNNNNNNNNNNNNNNNNNNNNNNNNNNNNNNNNNNNNNNNNNNNNNNNNNNNNNNNNNNNNNNNNNNNNNNNNNNNNNNNNNNNNNNNNNNNNNNNNNAGUUUUUUAAAAGCAAUGCAAUUUUUUAUCGAAUGCCCCGUAUUUCCCGCAUGAUAUUCGCAUUGUGCAUUCGCAUCGUGCCAUCUGGGGUACGGAGGCUGUGGAGGCUUUGUAUAGAGAGGGGCAACAAUGCGCGCGUUGAAUAACUUUUGAUACAGCUCCUUAUACAUCAUCGGAAUUGGCGUAAACUGGAGGUUCUCAGUACCUUGUUUCGCACAAGGUUCUUGUCUAGAUGAACCUUGCUGACUAGCAAUCACCUUAUUGUAAGUGUUCACAUUGCUUACAUCGUUUUCCUUCUUCUUUAAAUCUGACCUUCUAUUAUUCUCCCCAGCAUCAAUCUUUCCACUUCUCACGGCACUUGCAAUCAUUUCACCGCUCAUGACUAUGUCUGAAAAGCUUUUUGUCGCGCUUCCUAACAUAUGCGUAAUGAACGGGGCCUUCAGCGUAUUGAUGAAGAGCAUUGUUGUCUCUUUUUCCAGGAGUGGUGGCUGAACUUGUACGGUAAUCUCCCUCCACCUUUGUGCGUAUUGCCUAAAACUUUCAUUAGGCUUUUUCCCCAUAUUUUGUAGGGUAAUUCUGUCAGGCAUCAUUUCCGAGACAUGAUUGUACUGUCUCAUGAAAGCCUGUGCCAAAUCCCUCUAAGUACCAAUUUUUGUUCUGCUCAGCUGAUUGUACCACUUUGACACUGCUCCUGUAAGACUUUCUUGAAAGCAAUGUAUUAAUAAUUGAUCAUUAUUAAUAUACCCCGUCAUUCUUCUGCAAAACAUAGUAAUAUGGGCUUCUGGGCAACUGGUCUCGUUAUAUUUCUCAAAUUCCGGCAUUUUAAAUUUGUAAGGUAGCACCAAGUCCGGAACCAAGCUCAGAUCUUUUGCGUCUAUCCCAUGAUAGCUUUCAAUGCUUUCUAUUGCCCUAAACUUCUCUUCUAUCUAUUUCUAUUUCUCCUCAAAUUGUUUUGGAAGUUCCUCCUUCGCCUUGUCCUUUUCAGCCAUCUCAUCAAGAUCUGGGAUAGCAAUAUUAUUCGGGCUAUCACCGGGAUUAGAGCCCGCUCCGGGUUGAAAAUUCAUUGGUAUUGAAGCAUCGCCUUGGAACUGCUGAGGCCUAACCGACACAGAGGGUUUUCGCGGAUGCAGCUCAGUUUGAACCUGCGCAUGCGGAGGCGUAAAACUUGGAGGAUAAAGUGGUUCGCCAUUGUUUUCUUCCUCAUUAAUAAUCACAGGUCCUUUCCCCUUAUCUACUCCCUUCAAUAAUUGCGUCAUCUUAGUUAUCAGAUCAUUUUGAGACUCUUGCAUCUUUUGUACCAUGUCAUGUUGAAUCUUUUCUAUUUGUUCUUUCAUUUGCGCCUGCAGCUGGUCUUGCAUUUCCUUUUGAAGUCGCUCUAGCUUUUCCAACUUUUGGUCCAUAAUUUUUUACUUAGCUCGAGUGUCGUAACUUUGUCGGUUUUCCAGGUUAACUGAAAUAAAUUGACUCAAUUAGACUCUUUUAAUGGAUGCUAAUGCAUGUAAUGCCGGUGCAUAAAAUGAAUGCCUAGAGAGACAUUGAUUUUGAUUCAAUUACAUUUAGGAAACUUUUCUAGAAAGCAAAUUCCUUUACAUAAAGCAGAUGCAUGUAAGGCCUCGCCCUUAUAUUCCUAGAGACAACAUCAAUCUUUUCCUUCAUCUGCAUGUUUGUGAUAAUCUCACCAAUUUCCAACAGACGCCACUGCUAGCUUCUUUUCUAGAUCUUGGUCGUCAUCUUCAUGAGACUCGUCAACUUCUUUAAGGGAGUUCGAACGUCGAAGGCUCUUGGACAAUCGUCUUGAAUCCUCAGGCCACGAAGUAAGGUCACGAACUCUUCCAUCGUCUUUCUUGUGUUUCUCAGAAUAUAUUCAGGCAGUCGUAUUGUUUUCUACUUUAUCAAGGAAUUCGUAUUCUAUGACAAGCUUUCUAAUUUAGUAAUUGGAUUUGAAUCAAUAUCUCUUUCCUAAGAUGCAAAUGCAAUGCAAUCAUAAUCAAAACAAAACAAGAUGUGUUAGUACAAAACAGAAGCAAACAAGAAAAAUAGAGUACCUAUUCGGGUAACCAUUAGGGGUUUGAAAUAGCUCUACCUAGAGUGGGCUUUUAAGGUCUUCUACAUGCGGUUUGGCUCUAAAAUCAAGGUACCCGAACCAGCAGAUUCCUCGAUCCUCACCCAUUAUAGGCUCAUAUGGACCGAGUUCGGUUCAGGGGAAUACAUUUCCCUAUGGCUGCACGGAGAUGAAAAUCUCACGAAGACAUAGGUACGGAUGUAUCCCGAAAGCGAUCCACUAUCCUGCACGGAGGUGAAAACCUCACGAAGGACUAGCUUCUCACUCCCACUUAAAAGGUGUGACCAACGGUCAUGCAAUGCAAUGUGCAGAAAGAUAUAAAAAUUUAAAAUGCAAAACUUGAUGAAAACUAUAAUUCAAGACAAAUGAAAUGCAAUGAGAGGAUCGUAAAUUUAAACCAAGUUUUCAAUUUUUGACAAAAAGAUAAAAAAUAAUCAACUCAUGGCUUGACUCACUUAUUUAAGUCCCCAGUGGAGUCGCCAAGCUGUUGACACCAUUUUUUGGAUGAAACGGGGUCGACUUGGAUUUUGAAAAUAAAAACGAAAACGGGAGUCGCCACCAAUCUUUUUUGAUGAGGUGUGAUCGGGUCACCUCGAAAAGUGGUUGUUUUUAAUAAACGAUUUAAUUUUUAUUGAAACAACGAUUUUGGUCUACGAAAUUCAGAAAAAUGAGUUCGGGAGUCGAUUACGCACGAGGAAGGAUUAGCACCCUCGAUACGCCCAAAAUUGGUACCCAGUUGAUUACUUAAUGUCUUGGUGUCGAAAAUUGAGAACUUUAAAGAAAUUUAAAAUACAAUCAUUAAAAAAAAACUCGAAUGGCAUGGAUAAAAAAAUUUAAGAGGAUAUUCGGCAAUUUGGUUAAACGAGAAAUCGAAACCCAGCACAUUAGGGCACGUUUUCUCGAAUUCCCAAACGCAAAAUAUUUCCUCUUUUGAAAUUUUUGGAAGGAUAUUUAGUCACUUGGUUGAACAAGAAAAAUCGACACCCAGCACAUUAGAACACGUUUUCUCGAAUUUCCAAAUGCUAAAUAUUACCUCAUUUAGAAAAAUUUUCUUUUUUGAAGUGUGGUGUUAAUAUGCAUAAUGAAACAAAAAUGAAUACGACAAGGUAAGCAUAAAUAUUGUGAGUAACAACAGAUGUUAAGUAGGCAAAAUGAGAAUGACAAAGCGAUUACAUAUAAAAAAAAAUNNNNNNNNNNNNNNNNNNNNNNNNNNNNNNNNNNNNNNNNNNNNNNNNNNNNNNNNNNNNNNNNNNNNNNNNNNNNNNNNNNNNNNNNNNNNNNNNNNNNCUUUUCCUUUAUCUUUAUUUUUGUUUUUGUUUGAAAAAUCAAAAUAAAAAAUAAAUACAACGAAAAAAGAAAAAGGAAAGAUUGCAAUCGGAAUCACCUUUGAUUUUUUUGCUUUUAUUUCUGUGAAUAAGUUACAAGAAAGAAAAGAAAAAGAACCCUGUUACAAGAAUAAAGUUUGGCCCCCUAACAGAUCUAAAGAUCGAUUUUUUACUGAUUCCCCUCUUUUUUUAUCUGUUUUUCGAUCGGUUUUAUACCGAAAGAUACCAAAAGCAAAAAAAACCCCCCUUUUUCCUUUUGUUUGAUUCGGCUCUUAUAGCCGAUUACGCUACUGUUUUCUGUUCUCUGUUGCUGUUUCUUUUGCUUUUGUUUUUGUUUGCAGGACCUGAUGAAGUCAACGGAGACGGAAAGCUUCCAUUUUGGUGCAAGGCGCAGCUGGCGGUGGCAGACCUCGGGCGACGAGUGCGCUGGAGGCACAUGGGUAGCAAGAUGCGGCGCACUAGGGUUUCUAGGUUUCUGAUUUUUGCUGAAAUUGUUUUAAUUUUGGGCCAUCUGGGCCUUGUUAUUUUUCGGGUUUGGAAUUUGGGUUGUAAUUUUGGGCCUGGGCAUAAAUUGGGUCUUACAAAGUACAAAUGCUUUAUUUGGAAGAAUAAAGUUAUACAUUUUAAAUUCGAUUAUUGUUUUUCAUUACUAAGGGUGGGUUUGGAUGGGCGGUGUGUUUGCUUGCGGUUAGUGUAAAAACAGUAGUGGCGGUGAGAUUAGAUACUGUAGCGAAAUUGUAGCCUGAAACAAAAAGUAAGCUAAACACAUCGCACCGCACUCAAUCGCUCAUCCAAACCCACCAUAAAUCUUUGAAAACGUUGUUUGUAUCAAAAUUAUUAAUAACAAUUUUUUUUUUCAAAAAAAUUAUUAAAAACAUUUUAUAAACUAAAAUUUUGUAAAUGUAAAUAUUAUUUUUUUAAAAAAACUUUACAGUAUAUUUUAAAAAAAUUAAAAUACAUUAAAAAGUAUUUUAAAAACAAUUUGAUUUAAGAAUAAUUUAAAACAAUUUGAACCCGGAUUAAAAUUUUACUUUUAAAAAUAGUUUAACAGAAUUUUUUAAAAAUUAGUUUUUAAAUUACAUUAAAAAUUAUUUUUUAAAUUAUUUUAUUUAAUUGUAUAAACUUAAAUUGCAUUUCAGGAAACAUUUUAAUAAAAAUUUUAAAUCAACUUUUUAAAAACAAAGUUACCAUAAUUUAAAAUGGUUUUUAAUGUAACUUAAAAAUGGUUUUAGAACGUUUUAAGUAAAACUAUAUUUUUUUAGAAACAACUGGAAAGCGUUUUUUAAAAUGGUUUUAAAAGCCAACUGAUAUUUAAAAAAAAUUAAAAAAAUUAAAACAUUUUUUUUUAGAAAUACUUUUAAAAAGUUAAUUUGAUUUCAAGGAUAUAUAACUAUUUUUUUGAAGUUUCCAACAAAAUCUUUAAUUUUUUUACAACAUUGUCAUAAAAUAAUUCAAAUUUGUAUUUGGAUGAUUUUUUUAAUUAUAUGGAUUUANNNNNNNNNNNNNNNNNNNNNNNNNNNNNNNNNNNNNNNNNNNNNNNNNNNNNNNNNNNNNNNNNNNNNNNNNNNNNNNNNNNNNNNNNNNNNNNNNNNNGUUUGGGUUAAAUUUUAUUAAUAAUGUUGUACACCAAAACAUUACUUGUCAAUUUGAAAUUAAGGUGCGUUAAAAUCAGAGUUACAAUGGGUAAAAAUGAUGACAUUAUAUUAUUGUCAUAAUUAUUAUUUUUAAUUAAUUUAAAUUAAUGAAGAGAUAAAUAAAAUUUAUAUUAUCUUAAAUUAAAUUAAUUAAGUGAUAAUAUUAUAUGAUUAUUUUAUCUCUAAUUAACUAAAUCAAUAAGAGUUAGAUAAUAAUAAAGGAGUUUAAUUCUUGUAGAACACUUAAAUGAAAAAGUUAAAUUCUACAACAACUCUCUUGAAUGACACUAUAAAAGGGGUCACCUCCUAGCUAUUCGACAUAUGUCGACAAGUUCAAGAUGUCCAAAGCAUUUUUGCAAAAAUCUUUAAAGAAAUUGAAGAAAUUUUGAAGAAUGUCACAUUAGUUCACAAAACAAGCCACCUCCCGAUUCAGUUCAACUGAAUGAGAGGAAGUCAAAACUCGUUUUCAAGAUCAAGUCUCAAUGACCCUUAAAGCAAAUCGCAUCCUUCAAAGAUCAAGUAAGAUGACCCUUAGACCCAAGCCAAACUAGAGAGAAGAAUCAAAUGAUUUCUUCUUACUUAAGAAACUUCUAAGAUUGUAACUUAUUUCAAUUUAUCAAUAAAAUUUGACUCCAACUUUUCCAAUCAAUAUUUGUCUCAACUUGUGUGUGCAAAUUUGAACAGGCCUGGUGGGACCAUCUCUAGCUUUCAUCUCAUCUAUUAAAAAGUCAAAGUACAAAGUUGCAAUAGUCUCAAAGAAGAUCAUUAUCAACAGACCAUCAAAGAAGAUCAUUGGCAAACCAACUCACAAGCAUGCUCAAGCUAAUCUUGCGCCCGCUUGACUUCAUCGUCAAACACCAAUGUUUUUGCUCAUCCUUAUGCCACUAGGAAUAAGACGAAAGCUCUUUUAUAGUCAUUCAAUCUGUGACACCCCACACCCAACCCGGCCACUAGAAUCGAAUGUGUGACAGACACAUUAUGUUGUCGGAGCAAUUCAGGCUAACUUAGUUCUAUUACGAAAUAAUUUAAGCAAUAAACCUUGGCUUCUUUUGGAUUUCGUAUAUUAACAAACUGAUGUAGCCUAAGGGCAUAUGCAUCUCGAUUUCAAGCAUCAUAACACGUAUUCACUAUGUUAUUUCAAUUUGGUCAUUUUUAUCCAUUACUGAUCACAAAUACAUUCUAUAAUAAUUAUUUAAUUCCAAGGUAAAGUUAUCAACUUAUAGUAGAUAAGUAGCCAAUAGCAAUUUCUAUACUUGUGGCUUUUAUUAUCUCGCUGCUUAUUGUUCGUCUUUGUCCUUCUAUUGUCCCACGACAUUCUGACAUCAUUUUCAACCUUGCUAAAUUUACCAAGUAUAGAAACAUUAUUAAAUUAUCCACUUAACAUAUAUGCACAUUCAAAUUAAACCCAUUUUAAAUAUUUUUCAAUUAGAUCCCUAUCCCUUAUUUCACUAAUAUAUGUGAUCCUCGUAUUUUACAAUUUAUCUGAUCGGAUCUAAAUCUUACUUUGUAUUUGUACGGUAGGGACCUUAAACUAUCAUUUUAUACCAAUAUGUCUCAAAGUUAUACUUUCUUACAUAUAGACCCCUAAUAGUUCAACAAUAAUUUGUUUACUAACACUUAAUUGAACUUGCUUGAACCACUCCCAACUUAGUACUUGUAUUAUUGUUAAUGCUCUGUUUAAUUAAUUGCUAUUUAAUUUAUUUCAAAGUCAAUUACUAAUGUUUCUAUUUUCUAAUUUUGUACUCGCUUCAUAGCUGCCUAAUAAUAAAAUAACUGAAAAAAAUCGAUUCAUUCAUGACCUAGAAGAAAUUUUCGCUUGUGGAUCAAAUGUAGCCCAUCGAUUACAUUCAAGGGGAAAGAUAAUAAACUAAGUGAGAACUUCAUUCCAUCAUCUCCCUAAAAACCAAAUUCUGGAGCAAGCAACACAUCCUUGGAGGAACAAAUGGCAACUCUAGUAAAAAUGGUGGAGAGUCUUGCUACAAUAGUCAAAGGAAUGAAUGAUCCAAUCACUUUCAUGAGCUCAAAUUAAACAUAUGAAUAGAAGCAACCAAACUUCUUACAAUGAAACUCAACAUCAAAAUCUUCUAAAGUUGGUGAAAUCGAAGUUGUUGAAGGACUUCAAAGUGUUUCUCCAUAUCAACUCAAGGAUCUCAUCAAAGAAGCCAUCAAAGAUCAUGUUGAAAGUGUUGCUCUACUUUCAUAUACAUAUUCAAAGCCACAUAAUCAAAGGAUUGAUCAUUGAAGAUACCUAAAAAUUAACAAACUCAAACAUUCUAAUAGUUUGUUGACAAAAGAAAUCCACGUCAACAUGUGCUCACUUUGUGGAAACUUGUAAUAAUAUCUACAUUGAUGAAGAUCUCAUGGUGAAAUAGUUCAUUCGGUCAUUUAAAGAAUAUAAUUUUGAUUGGUACACUAAUAUUGAGACUGAAAUGAUUAAUAGUUGAGAAUAACUUGAGUGAAAAUUUUCCUAAUCGAUUUUGUAGAACUCGUUGCAUUUUGAACAUGAUCAAGCUCACAGGCUCAAAAUAGUGGAAAGACAAGCCAAUCAUCGAUUACAUCCACCGUCAGAGGAAACAAAGUCUAAAAUGAAAAGAGAUGGUCGGAAUCCUUUACUAUCAACAUGUGCAUACAAGGUAUGAAUUGGGGCUUCUGUUGCAUUCUCCAAGGAAUCAAAGUGAAGCCCUUUAAAGAAUUAACUACUUGAGCUCAUGACAUGGAGUUAAGUAUGGAAACUAUUACAAAUCAAGAACCACAUGAGCAAGUAAUCCAGAAUGGGAGCAAAAUUUUAGCUGACAAUGAAGAUUACCAAUCUAUGGUCAUAAAUGUGAACUCUAUUUCUGCUCAAGUCAAAGGUGCAAUAAGAGUCACACUAAAUGAGAAGCAAGAAAAUAAGUACUAUUUUCUUAAUGUUGAUGUUCCAAACAUGCUUAAAGAACUUUUAAAAGAUAAGUUGAUUUGGUUGCCAAAAAUGAAGCGACCUAAAGAAGUUAAUCGAGUAGUUGAUCCCAACUAUUGUUAAUAACACUAUUUGAUUAGUCAUCCUCUCAAUAGGUGCUCAGUGUUGAAAGAAAAAAUCAUGCAACUUCAUGAAGAAGGGAAAGUCAAGUUUGAAGAAGUAGCAUCAUCAAGCUUGACAACAACCACUAUGGUUUCUCAAUCCAUUAUGAUGGAUAGAACCAUAAAAUUUGGCUAUUUCAAUCCUAUUACAUCGGUUCCAAGCAUAAGGAAGAUGGUGGAUUUCCAAAUUAUUAGGGGUAAUCAAUUGUUUCUUGGAUAUCUAAACAAUCAUGGUUGGACUCUAGCCACAUGUUAAAGAAAACAAUAACAAGUAAUGCUCCUAGGCAUGAGCUUAAACUAUCACAUUACUCCUAAACACAAGCUUAAACUAUUCAUAUAAUGCUUCUAGGUAUGAGCCUAAACUAUUUAGUCCAAAAAUGAUGCUGAUGAGCACAAGGUUAAGCUGGACAUCCAAAUUUAUAAAUAUAUAUAACUACAUCAUGACUUGGUCCUUUAGAAAACAAGGUAUGUAGACAACUUGGUUUUGUCGUCAAGUUAAGUCACCACCACACCGCAAAAAAAAAAGACUCUUGGAGUCGAACUUCAAAGUGCACAAAUUUCUAGAACUGUUCUCCAUGGGCACCACAUGUUCUUGCCAUGUUGAGGCUGCACAAUUCAGAUCGACAUGAGGUAUUGCAAGUUCUAUCUCUCACCAUGUUGAUUGAUGGUUAUGAUUGAUGCUCCCUUUAUGAUAUAUAUGGUUUUAGACAGAUCAUCAAGCAAGUGAAUAGAUUCCUUUGAUAUGCUUGAAAACAUCUUACCUUGGAAAAAAAAGUUUGAUCACCAAAUCUCAUCCAUACGUUUUAUGACUUUAGGAUUUUGAAAAGAAACUAGUGCCCAAGCCUUAUGUUGCAAGAUUGAUGAGAGAUCCCACUAUCUUGACAUUACUUUUAUAAAUGAAGAAAAAGUUUUCUACAUGAUCAAGGACUUUGACUUUUAAUUGUUGGAGAGUUCUAAUCAGGAAUUAAAUCUUUAUUUGAAUUAAUAUUUAUUGUUUUGAAGUCAUAAUAAAACCUCAACUUUGAAAAGGUUUAUAAUUGAAAAAUUAGAUGAUGCCAAGAUUAUUUUUCAUAGGAAGCUUGAUGAUGCAAAAAGAAAAUUACACAAAGAAAUAUGAUGUAGUAGUGGGGGAGAUUGUCNNNNNNNNNNNNNNNNNNNNNNNNNNNNNNNNNNNNNNNNNNNNNNNNNNNNNNNNNNNNNNNNNNNNNNNNNNNNNNNNNNNNNNNNNNNNNNNNNNNNCGUAUAUAUAUAUAUAUAUAUAUAUAUAUAUAUAUAUAUAUAUUAAGUUUUUACUUUCAAUAAAUUAAGUUUUGAUAUGAAUAUAUAUUAAGUUUUAAUUCUAAGCUAAAAAAGUAAUCUUUUUUGCUUCAAAAUGAAAAUAAAAUAAUUUAAAAACUGUAAUCUUAUUUUUUGCAAAAUAAAAAUAAAAUAAUUAAAUUAAAUUCUAGUUGGGUCAGAGUCGGAUCUCUUAUUAAAUUUCGGGUUUGGGGUGAGUUUUUUUCUUAAAAUUCAGGGUUGGGGCGGAAACCUCAAGUUUCGAGUCAGGUUCGAGGUGAGCAAAAAUCCACCUCACCUCGUUGCCAUCCUUACUCAUAACUAUUGCAUCAUGCAAAACAUUUUAUUUAAAAAAAAUAGAGAUGGUAAAUUAGCAAAAAUAUGAGGGUGGGUCGCAAUGUUGGCAUGAAAUUCAAAUCAAAUUUCAAGAUUUGUUCACUGGUUAUAAUAAAAAAAUUCAUGUAUUGACCAGAUUUUAAGGGUCGAAGUACCAUUUGUGAAGUCAAAAUUAUUGUGGGUUAAAACUAGAAUAACCUGAAAAUGAUGGGAUCAUAUGUGGAUCAUAAUUUUUUUCUUUAAUUAAUUUAAAUUAAUUAAGAGAUAAAUAAUAAAAAUUUAUAUAAUUAUUAAUUAUGUAACAAUCCGAUUUUCAAUAGUACUGGAAAAGGUGGUUUCAGUAUCUCAUUUUCAUAAACCGAGCCCAUAAAUAUUAAAUAUAAACAUUUACGAAGUUGGUAUAAAAUAAUCUUAAAGUUUGGCCCAUCAAUUUUUUUAUUAAUUAUUUAAUUUAGGUAUAGUGACUAAAUUGUAAAAAUUCAAUUGCUAGAAGUUUUUAAUUGGCUAAAGAUUUAGGGGCUUAAAUUGCAAUUAGCCAAAGGUAAAAUUUGACAAUUAAAGCAUUUUAGAACAUGUAUUAGUGGGUGUUGGUGGAUUAAACAUUAAAACUUGGUUAGUGAGUUAAUUAGUAUGGUUAAGUAAAAUUUAUCAUUUUCAGAAGAAGUUGUUUCUAAGAGAGUCUCAAUUAUGUUUUAUUCUAUUUUUUCAUCUAGAUUUAAAUUAUUAAAUUUUCUUUUAGUUUUGCAAUAUUUUGAGAUCUGUCCCGGUUUUCCACAUCUACAACAUUUUAUUGUUUUAUCUAUUUUGUUUUUUGUUUUUUGUUGUUUCUUUUCUUUUCUGUAAUUUCUAUAUUUGGGUUUUUUUUAUAAUAUUCUGAAAUAUUCUUUCUCCUAUUUUUUGGUUUUACAGGGCAACAUGUUUUUGAAGAAUAAGGUAAGGUUCAUUUCUAAUGUCAAAUUGGUGGUAGAAUGAUCCUAAUAUUAUAAAAAAAAACCCAAAUAUAGAAAAUACAAAAAAGAAAAGAAACAACAAAAAACAGAAAACAAAAUAGAUAAAACAAUAAAAUGUUAUAGAUGUGGAAACCCAGGACACAUCUCAAAAUAUUGCAAAAGUAAAAGAAAAAUUAAUAAUUUAAAUCUAGAUGAAGAAAUAGAACAAAAAAUAAAUGAGAUUCUCUUAGAAACAACUUCUUCUGAAAAUGAUACAUCUACCGAAACAGAUGAAUUACAAAUAGAUGAGUUACAUACAACAUCUCAAUCUUCUGAUGAUGAAAAUGAACCUUCAAGUAACAUUUUAACCAAAGACUAAGAAUUCAUGAUUGAAUUUAUUGAUAAAAUUAGAAUACCUUUUGAAAUUAAAAUAUUCGUUAAAAGAUAAACCAUAAAAAGAAAAAGAAAUUAUUUCUAGUCAAUCACAAAUGUACAAUAUACAAGAUAUAAUGUUUAAUAAAUAUGAAAAAAUAAAACCCAGACAAAUUACAAAUUCUGAAUUACAAUUGGAAAUAAAAAAAUUAAAUUGAAACUUGCUCAACUUAAAUGGAACAACAAGAAAUGAAAAAACAAGUGCAAACCUUAAAACAUGAAAUCCCAAAAAAUAGUUCGUCAGAAAUUGAACUCGAACCUAAAGAAAAUACACAGGAAUAUAUAAUGGUUCUGACUAAAGUUUCUAUCCAAAGAUAUUUAAUAAAAAUAAAUAUUGUUAUAAAUAAUGAAUUUCAAAUAGAAACAAUAACCCUUUUUGAUACAGGAGCAGACCAAAACUGUAUUAGAGAAGGGAUAAUUCCAACAAAAUAUUAUGACAAAGCAUCAGAAUUAGAGGUGAUCAUGGGCCGGGCCGGGCCCAGAAAAAAAUUUAGGCUCGAUUUCUAGGCCGGCCCGAAAUAUGGACCUAAAAAUUUGUCAAAGCCUGGCCCGAGAAAAUUGCUAAGCCCGAGCUCGGCCCGGCUCGGCCCAUAUUAAAUAUAUAUUUAAUAUAUAUAUAUAUAUAAUAUUUGAUUAAAAAUAAAACAAUAUAUAUUUGAUUAAAAAUAAAAAUAUAUAUUUAAUAUAUAAUUCAGCCAAAAAAGUUUUACCCGAGUCCGGCCCAUUUUCUAAACGGGCCUCAUUUUUUUGCCCAAACCUAUAUUUCGGGCCUAUAUUUUUACCCGAACCCUCCCAUUUUCGGGUGGGCCGUCGGGCCGGGCCGGGUAGUCCAACCCAUGAUCACCUCUAAUCAGAACCUCUUAAAGCUGCAAACGGUAAAAAACUAAAAAUUACUUCCACAAUUCCCAAUACAGAAAUCUGCAACAAAGGUAUAAAAUAUCAAACAUGUUUUCUAAUGGUAAAAAACACUACCCAAUAUGUCAUAUUAGGAACUCCAUUCAUAUCCUUACUCAAACCAUAUAAAGUAACAAAUAGUUCAAUCUCUACCAAAGUUUUAAACGCUAAAGUAGAAUUUCCUUUUGUAGAAAAACCCAAAAUAAGAAAUCUCAACUUAUUAAAUUCUUUAUCCAUCCAUGAUGGGCAAAUCAAUAAUUUAAUUAAUCAUAAACAGAAACAAAUCUUUUUUCUAAAAGAAGAAAUAUGUUUUAAAAAAUUGACUGAACAAUUAGAAAAAAGAGAAGUCCAAAAAAGGAUAAAUCAAAUCAAAGAAGAAAUAGAAUCAACAAUUAGUUCCGACAUUCCUAAUGCUUUUUGGAAUAGGAAAAAAUACGAAGUAGCAUUACCGUAUGAAAAUAAUUUUGAUGAAAGACAAAUACCCACAAAAACAAGACCAAUACAAAUGAACAAAGAAAUGAAAGAAUUUUGUAAAAAAGAAAUACAAGAUCUUCUUAAUAAAAAAUUAAUUAAGAAAAGCAGUUCUCCUUGGAGUUGUUUAGCAUUUUAUAAAAAUUACAGAACUCGAAAGAGGAACGCUAAGAUUAGUAAUUAAUUACAAACCUCUUAAUCAAGCCUUAAAAUGGAUUAGGUACCCAAUACCAAAUAAAAAAGAUUUGUUACGGAAACUUUGUAAUGCAAAUAUUUUCUUAAAAUUUGACAUGAAAUCUAGAUUUUGGAAAAUCCAAAUAAAAGAAGAAAAAAAAGAUAUAAAACGAAUUUUACUGUACCAUUUAGACAAUAUGAAUGGAAUGUAAUGCCUUUUGGAUUAAAAAAUACUCCAUCCGAAUUUCAAAGAAUAAUGAAUGAUAUUUUUUACCAAUAUUCUCAAUUCACAAUAGUAUACAUCGAUGAUGUAUUAGUGUUCUCAGAAAAUUUAGAAAAACACUUCAAACAUUUAUCCAUCUUUAUAAAAUUCAUAAAAGAUAAUGGUUUAGUAGUUUCUAAAUCCAAGAUAAGUUUGUUCCAAACCAAAAUAAGUUUUUUGGGUCAUUACAUUACCCAAGGAACCAUUACCCCAAUAGAAAGGUCCAUAGAAUUUGCUAGCAAAUUCUCAAACUAAAUCUUUGAUAAAGUCUAAUUACAAAGAUUCUUAGGAAGCCUCAAUUAUGUCAUAGACUUUUAUCCAAGUCUUACCGAAUUAUGUAAACUAUUAUAUGAUAAGCGUAAAAAGAAUCCAAAACCUUGGACAAAUGACCACACCAAUAUUAUCCCCCAGAUUAAAAAACAAGUUACUAAGCUUCCUUGUUUAUAUUUAGCUGAUUCAAAUGCCCCCAAGAUAGUAGAUGUAACAGCUUGUUUUCAGUGAAAUCGGAACAGUGGUUUAAGAACUAAAAAUCUGAGUUUGGAAGAAAAUUUAUUUUAAUAUUAUUUUAUGGUCUAUCGUAUGAUAGGAAUAUCGUAUAAAAAAUUUGCUAAGAAAAUUUUACCGAUUGCAUGAUUAAUUGAUAAAAGGACCAAAUUGCAUAAAAUGCAAAAGUUGAAUUCUAGUAGCUAAAAGGAUCAAAUAGCUAUGGAAUUCAAAAUUGGAGGUCCUUAUAUGAAAAAUAGACCAUUAAGAGGAGUUAGUAAAUAAAGAUGAUGAUUCAUCCAUGGAAAAUUAAAUAAAGAAAAUGACUAAAUUGGAAAGAUAAAAUAAUAAAAGAUGAUAUUUUAAUUAAAUAAGAAAUAUCAUCAUUUUAUAUCAUCUUUCCCAAAUAAAAACAUGGAAACCCUAUUUUCGAAGAGCUUGAAGAUAGCAAGUUAUUUUGGCUCAAUUAGGUAUGUUUUCUUGUCCCGUUUUUAGUAUUUUUUAUAUUUCCAAGAUCGUAAUAGCUUAAUUUAGCUAUCUCAGGGAUUAAUUUGUAAAGUUAUCAAAUUACUAGCAUUUUUCCAUGGAUGAAUAUAGUUAAAUUAUGAAGUUUUAUGGUAGAAAAUGAAAUGUUGUUGAUAGAUAAAUAACUUUUGUAAAGGGAAUUUAGAUGAAAUUAUGAUUUAGGGACUAAAUUGAAAAGUUGUAACAUUCAUGAAAAAAUUUUGAAUUUUAUGAAAUACAUAAGCUGCUAUUGUGAUAUGUAAAAAUUAGUUAGGCUUGGAAUAAGGAUUAAAUUGCAAGAAUUUUAUUUUCCGAGCCUAGGGACGAAAUCAUAAUUAAAUAAAAGUAUAGGGGCAAAAUGGUAAUUUUUCUUAAGAUGUGAAUUGGAUUGAAUUGAGUAUGAAUUGUAUUAAAUUGAGCUAAAUUUACUCGUAUAGAUCCGGAUAGACCAAAUACGAAAUUGAAUCGAGGAAAAGAAAAAGUAUUGCAAGUUAUAUGGCUCGAGAGAGGGCUUCCCGAUUAUGUGCUCAAAUGAGCAUCCUUGAAUAUGAAUUGACUGAUUUCAGAUUCGUACACUUUAUGUGUAUUACCUUUGUAUCCAUCGAUAUUUUAAAUGAUUCAACGGUAAAGUUCCGAUAUUAGAUGAUAUGAAUUCAAGAUGAAUUACUAUGAGAAAUACUUGAAAUACAAAGAUAUGAUAUAUACAUGUUCAUGGAUACUUGAAGUGAUAAAUACAUGAAUGUGGAAAUUGAAUAAUGAUGAGCUCAUUUAUGUUUCUUGGUAUUUAUGUGAAUUACAUGACUAACAUGUUUCUUGAGAUUAUAUGUUUUUAGGCAAAUUGCCAAAUUGUUUGAGUAUGCUUUGAAUAUUUACCUUAAUUGUAAUUGAAUGGUAAGUCAAUUUCCCGUUAUACGAACUUACAAAGGGCCAGUUCUUCAUUGCUUAAAAAAAGCACUUCUGAUUCCAAAAGCACUUUUAAAAGAAAAGCUGUGAAGAACAAGCUGCUUUUGGCUGAAAUUUUUAGCUUUUCAGAAGUGCUUUUGAAAAGCACUUCUGAAAAGGAGCUGAAAAGGAGAAGCUAAAAAUUUUAGCUUUUCCUCUCCCAAAAGCACUUUUGGUGCUUAAUUACUUUUUCACCCUCCAAUAACAUAGUAUUUUUCUUUUUUUUUCUUGGUGCUUAAUUACAAUUGUGUUAAAAUCAUUAAUUAAAAAUAAAAAAUAUUUUUUAAAAUACUAAUUACAAAUAUUUAAUGGUUAUAUUUAAAUAUUUAAAAUAUAGUUUAUAUAUUCUAAUUAAAUUUUAUAAAUAAUUAAUAUUUAUUGCUUAAAAAUAUUUAAAAUUUAUAUUUCAUAUAUUAAAAUAUUAACAAUAAGUUAUAAUAAUUUUUUUAUAUUCUUACUAAAAUAUAAUAAUAUUAACUAAUUUAAAUAUUAUUUAAAUGCAUAUUUUUUACUUGACAAUAACAUGUCUAAAAUGAACAUUUUAUGUUUCAAAAGCACUUUUGACAGCAAUGCUAGACUUUCAAAUUUUGAACCAAACUUUUCAAAAGCACUUCUCAAAAGCACUUUUCCACAACACUUUUCAAAAGCAAUGAAGAACGGGCCCUAAGUAUAAAAUGCUUACUCUGUUUUAUUUCCUUUGUUUAUAGUAGCUCGGAAGCUCGUUAAGGUUGGAAGCUGGUCGGAAACACAUCACACUAUCCAUCGGCUCAUUUCGGUAUAAAUAAUAAAUUAAUUUUGGUUAUAAUGGCAUGUAUAGGUUUAAAUAGCCAAUGUUGACAUAUAAAUGUUUUGGAUGUAAUUAGCCAUUGGAAUGACUUUGUGAUGAAUCUGUUUUGAUUUAUAUAUAUAAGAUAAUGUCAUGUUUGAUGUGAGUGUUUAGUAUGGUUAAUUGAUAGUAAACUUCUUAAGCAUGUCUAUAUGUAUUUUUGGUCAAAUAGGUAAGUUUGGAUAUAUGAAUUUAUAAAGUGAUAUGUCAAGCAUAAGACUUGAUUUUGGCUCGAUUUAAAUGUCUUGCAUUGGCCUGUGAAUGUGUUAAAGUGUUUAUGUAGGUGGAAGACAAAUUGGGUGAGAAAAUUGACCUUGAAAAUGGUCUAUUUUCAUCCACACGGGCAGAGACAUAGGCGUGUAUCUCAGCCAUGUGUGACACACGGCCUAGCAUAUGGGCGUGUGAUCUGGCCGUGUGUCCCCUGCAUCUUUAAAAUUCAAUACAAAAUGCUCAAAAUUGAUCACACGGCCUGGCACACGGGCGUGUGGCUUGGCCGUGUGACCUAAGUCAGAGAGUUACACGAGUACUAAAAAUGGCUGGAACACAGCCGUGUGCCCUAUUUCGAAUGCCCACAAGGCUUGACCACACGGGCGCGUAUCCCCUGCACCUUGGAAAAAUGUUGAGAUUUUUUGAAAAAUUAUCUCAGUACCUAGUUUAGUCCCGACUUAUUUCUAAUGUAUGUUUUGGGUCUCGAGGGCUCAUAUAAGGGACUUUAUGAAUAAUAUCUUACAUGAAUGUUAAAUAAUAUGAAAUGUCUGUAUUUGAUCUGUUUAUUCCGGUAAUGCUUUGUAACUCUGUUCCAGCAACGGAUAUGGGUUAGGGGUGUUACAGUAGAAACAUAUGCUUCUGAAAUAUGAUACGGUGAGAUGCUAAAACAAGUUAAAGGGGGAAAAGGGCAAAUAGUCCAGUUUACUUCCAGACAUUAGAAUCUAACUCAACAAAAUUAUAGUACUAUUAAAAAGAAAAUUUAUCAAUUGUUUUAUACAUUACAAAAUUCCAAAGUGAUUUAUUAAAUCAAAAAUUUCUUUUACGAAUUGAUUGUAAAUCAACAAAAGAAGUUUUACAAAAAGAUGUUCAAAAUAUUGCCUCAAAAUGGAUUUUUGCAAUAUGACAAGCAAUUUUGAGCAUAUUUGAUUUUGAUAUUGAAUACAUCAAAGGAGAAACAAUUUAUUUGCCUGAUUUUCUCACCAGAGAAUUUCUUCAAAAAUGCCACCUAAACUCCGAGACAAAGGAAAAGGAAAAAUAGGAGAGUCGUCUAAAACCCAAAUUUCCUCAAAACCAAUUAAGUCAUGGUAUGAAAUUUGCUGUGAAGAAGAAAAUGAAAGAUCAUCAUCCUCAUCAAAGUCUUCCAAAAAUACAAUUGUUCAAGAUACACAAGAUCCAAAUGAAAUUUGUUCUUAAAUCAAAAAAUGGAUUGAGUCCCUUUCUCAAUCUCCAUAAGUGGCAUUGGCCUUUUUUUCAAAUGAAAGAGGAAACUCCUUUCAAGCAAAUUGAUGGUGAAGCAGCAAAGAUUUCAAAAAAAUAAAGAGACUGUUUUACUCAAACCGAAAUCUCUCAAAAAUAUUUUAAAAAAGACAUCUUUCCAAGAUGUUUUUUCGAAGUAGCAGUGUCUUCACAGUCUGCUACACAAAAAUCCUCAAUAUUUUCUAGACAAAAGUUUUGAAAAUUUUCUUAUUAUAGAGGAAGAAUUUUCAAAAAAACCUCCACAUAUACUUGCAAAAGAACUUUUCAAUGGAUAAUAUUUCAAGCCAUUGGAUUCUUAAAAACCUCAGCAGUGUUAUGAAAACAUACUGGUUCAAACUAGAUGAGUAUUGUUCAAACACUACAUAGACCCAAAAGAUCCAAACUUAGUUACCCAUUCAACAGCCCAAAUAUUAAAAAAUUUUCGACCAAGGGAUUGGGGUUAAAACCCAAUUUAUCCAAAGAAAUUUCCAGCCAAAUUUACCACCAAAAUUGACCACUACCCAUAUUUCACAUAUUGGGAUUACCAAAUGGCAUGGUACAAUGCCUUCUUAAUGAACAACCAACAUAUGAGACAUUCUUGGCUCAUAUAUUUCAAAUAUGGUACCCAAUUCAAAUUCCCAAACUAGUUCCAAGAAUGGUGGAAUUGUUAUGGACCGUCAUCUUUGGAGAUCCUUCCAGAAAAAAAAUUUAAAACUUAUGGCCCAAAUUCUUUGACAAAUUUCAACCUGAACCAAACCAAAAAUACAUUUACAGAACAAUCCAUUUUUUUUCUCAAAACUGUGCAUUUCUUGAUUAAUCUCAAAACUCCUAUAAACAAGAUUCAUACACUGGAAUUCCAUUAUUAAUCUGAAACUUCAAAACUAAAUGGUGGGAAAAUUUUAAUAAUGAAAAAUAUGAUUCAAAAUAUUUGGAUAAUUUUUUCAACAAGAAUCCAAGAUUAUGUAAGUUCGCAGCCCCGAAUCAAACCACAACAAAAUUUCUUCAGGCAAAAUUAACAUGUAACACACCAAACCCGGCCUAGACGUUAUGGCCGAAUUCGGGAGUGUUACGAAGAAGGGUUUUGAAACCGAUAAAACUUCUAUAAAACAAUAUUUAGUUAUUUGAUAAAACAUCCAAGUUUUAUAAAACAUAUUCAUUUAUAUAUAUUACUGAAACCGUUACAUGUUGUUCUUUAGGGUUAACCAAUUAUUUCGCAGCGGAUGUUUUAAAAAUUGUUUAAGACAAACCACGCUCGUGUUUUAAAAAAUAACAUUUGUUCGCGUAAAAUCGAUAUUUUGUUGAAUCAUUGUAGUUUAGAAAUCAUAUAUCAAUAAAACCUAAAAAUUCAAACGAAACAAUCCAAAAAGUCCGAAUAGUCCAAAAAUUACAAAACUCUCACGAAAACUGAAAAUUCAGUAAAAUCAUUAAAUAAUAAUCAUGAAAACAAUUUUUGUCAAGUGGUCCCCGUUGAGACUCCGUCGUACCGACCCGCCUAUGUCUGUGGAUUACCUGAACAAAACAGACAAACAGAUGUGAGUUUUCGUAAACUCAGUUUGUAACCCAAUAGAGAUAGUCAUGCAACAUACACAGAAUUACAUAUACAGUCAGAUACAGAUUCAGACCUAAGCCCAUAACAGAAACAUAUAUUAGAAUCAGAUAACAAAACAGGCGUACAUAAUCCUACCCCCAUCCUCUGCACACCAAUUCCGUCCAUCCCAUCACACCAUGUGGGGUUAAAAAACACUCAUCCAUCCCUACACACCAUAUUGUGUCGAUGCGACACAUAACAGAUAAUAUGCAGUCAAGCUACCAAAAUAGAGGCGAAAGGUCGAUGUACAUAUCACUUCCUCUCCAUAUACAAAUCUCACCCCAAACACAGAUAUAGAAUACAGAUGCAAAAAUUCCAAAAUAAACAUGUUUAACUUGCUCGUAUACAGAUAAAUACAUACUUAACAGUACAGUCAGACAUACUUAUCAAUUUUCUACUCAGAUCAGACUAUCAGAGUAUCAAAUUACAUGAAAUACGGUUUGGUUAGCCCUUACCAACCUUACGAUAGGCUUACAGUCGAUCGAAACGACCCGUAUUGUAACAACCCGAUUUUUGACCCUAAUCGAAACAGUGGUUUCGGGACCACAAAUUCGAGUCCUAAAAAUAUUUUAAUAUUUUAUUCUGUGUUUAUUAUGUGUCAAUUUACAUGUGUGAAAGUUUCGUGAAUUAAUUUUGUUGUUUGAGUGUCGAUUUAAUAAAAAAAGGGCUUAAUCGCGUAAAAUAAAAAUUUGAUGGUUAAAUAAGAAAAUGCCUAAUUGUUGUUGUCUUUAUAAUUUGGAGGCCUUAUGUUAAAAUUUAGCCAAUAUUAUAAGGUAGUGGACGGCAUAUUGUUUUAUUAUAUGUUUUUUAUACAUUAAAAAUAAAAGUUAAAAAUGAUAAUAUUAUAAUAUAUGUUAUAAUAAUAAUAAUGAUAAUAACAAAGCCAUUAUCAUAUCAUCUUCUUUCACUUUCGAAACUAGAGAAAGAAUAAAAUAUAAAAGCUUGGCUAGGGUUCGGCCAUUGUUGAGCUAGAUUAAGGUAUGUUUUGGUUUCAGUUUUUAAUAAUUUUUAUGUUUUUGAGAUCGUUGCUAUGAAAUCUACAAAGCCCAUGCUUAAUUUUUGAAUGUGAUGAUGAUUUUAUGUCUGGCCAUUGUUGAAGGCUUGUUGUUUUUGUUGUUAGAUGAUGGGAAAUAAAUAUAUGUUGUUAGAUUUUCAUGUUAUAAUUAGUUAUUUUUUAUAAAAAUGUGUAUUAAGGACUAAAUUAUGAAAAUAUUAAAUUGAGGGACUAAAAUGUGAAAUAAAUGACAUGCAAGGAUCUAUAUGAGACUAGGGAGUAUUCGACCAUACUAUAGUGUAAUUAAUUUGGAAUAUUUUGUGUUUUUGUACAAUUUGGACUAAAUUGUAAAAAAUGUGAAAUGUCAGGGAAAAAAUAUAAUUUUCCCAUUUAUGUGUUCUUAGACUAAAUUAAAUGAAAAUAUGUUUAAAUGAGAUUUAUUUGAAUAUGUUUAGAUCAAGAGACCAAGAAAUCGAAUUUAGAUCGGGGGAAAUCGAAAGUAGUUGAGUAGCCGAUCUAUUAGUCGACGACAUCCGAGGUAAGUUAUUAAGCAUAUAUUUUGUAUCGUUUUAAAUCAUCUUAGUAUCUAUGUAAUUAUGCUGAAUUGAAUGGUAUAUAUAUACAUGUAGUGAUAAAAUUAUUGAAAUAAGAUGUAUUGAGUUGUUGAUUUUCGGCACUAAGUGUGCGGGUAUAAAAAUUUAUGAUAAUGAGAUUAGCACUAAGUGUGCGAGUUUAAUUGUAAAGCACUAAGUGUGCGAGAUUGAUUAUUAAGCACUAAGUGUGCGAGUUUGAUUAUUAAGCACUAAGUGUGCGAACUUAUUAAAUAUUUUCGAACACCUAUUAGUAUUGAGUGUUCGAGUUAUUGAGUAAUCAUGAUUAGUAUAAUGAGUAAAUACUUGGAGUUCUUGAGUAAUAACCAUUAUGGUUGUAUCCAAAGUUGAGCUUUGUAAGUAUUAAACCUAUGUGGUGAUUAUAUUUGGAAUCAAAUAUAUAAGAUGAUUCUUUAUAUCACAUGAUGAUGAAAUGCAUAAUGUAUUUGGCCUUAUAUUUAAAUUUGAAGAAUUGUUUAUGGUUGAGUACUUAUAUUGAUUUUAGUUAAAUCAUAGUAUUAAGUUAAUAAUUAUCUUAUGAUAUGGUAAGCUAAAGGUAAGAUGAUUUAGUAGUAUGAAUUGGUUAAAUAUUAUUCGAGAUAUCAAGUUAAAUUGUAAAGUUUAUUUGCUUGUAACUUGCUAAGCUAAAUUAGCUUACAAUGUGUUGGAUAAUUGUUUUGAUGUAUAGAUUUUGGUGAUCGCUACGUGUUCGGGGAUCGUCUGUGAAGCUUGUUACACUAUUGUCUAUAUUUUGGUACUUUACUAAGUUGUUUUCGAAUAAAUGGCAUGUAUAGUGUAGUGGAAAUGUUGAUUUUGGAACUAAUGUAUAUAGGUGUAAUUAAUAGCCAUGCGAAAAUGGCUUAUUUCUUUUGGUUUGAAUUUGGUAUUAAUGCAUAUGCUUUAAUGGUCUAAAAUGUAGUAUAUGUUCAUGUUAUUUUAAUGCUUAAAUGCUGCCCAAAUUGUUAUAUAUAUGCUGUCCAAAUUUUGGUGUAAAAAUGUUGCUCAAUUUGGUAUAUAUAUGCUGCCCAAUUUGUUGUAUAUAUGCUGCCCAAUUUUUGGUGUAAAAAUGCUGCUCAAUUUAUUGUAUUUAUGCUGCCCAAAUUGUUGUAUAUAUGCUAUCCAAUUUUGAUGUAAAAAUGCUGCUCAAUUUGGUAUAUAUAUGCUGCCCAAUUUGUUGUAUAUAUGCUGUCUAAUUUUUGGUGUAAAAAUGCUGCUCAAUUUGUUGUAUUUAUGCUGCCCAAAUUGUUGUAUAUAUGCUGUCCAAUUUUGAUGUAAAAAUGCUGCUCAAUUUGGUAUAUAUAUGCUGCCCAAUUUGUUGUAUAUAUGCUGUCUAAUUUUUGGUGUAAAAAUGCUGCUCAAUUUGUUGUAUUUAUGCUGCCCAAAUUGUUGUAUAUAUGCUGUCCAGUUUUGAUGUAAAAAUGCUGCUCAAUUUGGUAUAUAUAUACUACCUAAUUUGCUGUAUAUAUGCUGUCCAAUUUUUGGUGUAAAAAUACUGCUCAAUUUGUUGUAUAUAUGCUGCCCAAAUUGUUGUAUAUAUGCUGUCCAAAUUUUGGUGUGAAAAUGCUGUCUAGUUUGGUAUAUAAAUGCUGUCCAAAUUGAUGUAUAAGAGCUGUCCAAACAGGGUAGAUUACCUAUGUUGUAAUAUGUAGUAUAGUUAGUACGUUGAAAUGAAAUAUGUGUACAAAUAAAUGUUUGGAUAUAAUGCUUGAUUUAUGAUAUUUAAUCAUAUAUGUUUGGAAAUGUUUUAAGAAUUUGAAUGAUAUUAAAUUUUGAUUAGGUAAAUGAUAAUGAUAUGGUUGAAAUUUUGAAACAUGGUUAGUAUAUGUAAUUUGAUUAUUGAUGCAUGUUUGAUUUUAACUGGUUAUGUGCUUAUAUAUAUAUGGAAUGAAAUUUCGUGGUUGAGAUAGUAUAAUUUAUGAAAAAAAAAAUUCUAAGUUGGGUUUUGAUCAGUAAUGCCUCGUAACUCUAAUCCGGCGACGGACACGGGUCGGGGUGUUACACGUACGACCCUAGGAAAAAUUUUAGAAUUUUGGGUCCACAUGCCCGUGUGGGCCCACAUGCCCAAAUUGGCCUUACCCGUGUGGCCCACACGGCCUGGUCCAACCCACAUGCCCGUGUGGCUCAGUCGUGUAGGUCCACAUGCCCAAUUCGGCCUUACCCGUGUGGCCCACACGACCACACAUUCACCGUCACAUGGCUAUGUCUCGCGCACGACCACACCUACAACAGUCACACGGUCGUAUCUCGUACACGGCCACAUCUACGAUAGUCACAUGACCGUGUCUCGUACACGGCCAUGGACACGUCCAUGCACACGUCCAUAUGAUGUCGACAACCCCCUUUUUCAGCUUUUAUUGAACCUUGAUUUUUUGUGUUUAGGGUACACACCUGAUUCGAUUUUGAUGCUAUAGCAAUCCCGAGUCCACCAAAACCUAAAAACAACAUUCUAACGAUCAAUUGUAAGUACCGAAACACCAAUUAUAAAAAACUCAAUCGACAUACUUGAACGUAGUACACAAACCAAAAGUUCGAUCACUUACCAGAACAGUUACGACAGACCUAACGCUUUACACGAUAGACAAAGAAUUUCGAUCCCCUUGUUUAGCACCUAACACCAUAAUACAUAACAUUAACGCAACCGAAAACGACCUACAAUCGCACAAAACUUCAAGACCAAUUACCAACCACAAUCCGAGUAGGGAUCACAGAACCAAAACGCAAAGAUUGAUGACAGUUUUUGAACGAAAAAGGAGAAGGUAGCGAAAAGAAGGAAAAAAAAGAAAGUACAGAGAAAGGGGAAAACAAACUAACGUCAAUUUCUUAUUGGAAGAGAGAAAACAAAUUUGAAAAAAAUAAAAUAAAAUAAUAUCCCUUAUCCCUCAAAUUUAGGCAUGACCUCUCACUAACCCAAUCCCAACUACCCACUCACUCAGACUUCCGAUUCCAUCCAAACUCUCUCAGCCAAUCGAAGCAAAAAUAUCAUCCACGCUCACGCAGGGACUCAAACACAAAACCUCAGCAAGCUAACUCCUUACCACUCAAACCAACAGGCUCAUUCUGAUAUGAGUUUACAAACAACAUUAUAAAAGCUCACCUAACAGGGAUAAGGCUUGGAUCAAAAAUAACAAAAUUUUCCAUAAAUGGGAUUUGAGCUCCAGACCUCACCUACACAUCUAAAAAACUUAACCAUUGAAGUAGGUACACAUUUAAUGUCAUGAUUCACAGAAACAAAAUUAAACUAUUCAGGGUGUUACACGACAGCUAGUGUGAUGUUUUCUCAAGCCAAUUAAAAUUGUAAUUAUGGUAUAAAAACCAUUUUUUGGUGGUAUGAAAGAGAAUUUUUCUCUUCUUUUUCUUCAAGAACUGUUCGCCAUAGAUAGGAAAAACAAGAAACACGUCCAAAGGGUUUCAAAUUUUGGCCAACAUUAGUUAAACUCAAUUAAGUUUUUUUGUUGUAAUUUUUAUCUUUUUGAUAUCAUGGGAACUUGAUUUAGCUAGACCAUGUACCAAUUUGCAAAAAUGUUAAAAUUUUUAAAAGUUUUCAUUGUUGAUUUCUUGAAGAAAUUAGUUUUAAAUUGAUAGCUUUUAAGCUUAUAUCAUGAAAAAAAACUAGAUUGUAAAGUUUAAUUGUUAGUUUUUCACAUAAGGAUUAAAAUGAAUAAAAUGUGAAAUUUCGGUAUAAAUAUGAAGUAGAGAGUCCUUAAGAGGUGUAAUUGAAGUCCAUUUUUAAACUGAGGCUCAAAAUGGAAAGUUAUGGCUAUUUUGAUUUCAAAGACUAAAUUGAAUAAAAUGUAAAUCUUUAUAGUUUUGAAAAAUGAGAUUUUUAUAAGUUCAUACAUGUCAUGACAUAAUGUAUCAAUGUUUAGUAUUGAUGAAUUGAAUGAAUAAUUGUAUAGAUUAAGAAUUGAAACAAAUUAGAGAUAAUCGAGAAAAAGCUAAAAUUGUUGAUUAGUCCUUGAAGAUUCAACUUGUUUGGUGUUCUGAUUAUGUAUUUUUAAUUAUGUAUGAAUUAUACUUGAAUUAACAUAUAUAUACACAUACUUGUUAGAAUUGAGUAUAAUUAUGAAAAUUGGCACAAAUGUCUUGUAUUGGACUGAAUUGUAAAUUCGUGUAAAUAUUGGUUGUAUGGAAAUAAGACAAGGUGUUAAUAUGAUUAUUGGUUAGCUAUAUGCCUCGUAAAUGAAAAAUGAAAUAUGUAUAGGAUUUGAUAUUGACAUUUAUAUGGAAGUAAUGCCCGAGUGAACUUAGUAAAAGGUUAUGUGUGGCAUGCCAUUAGGUUUAUACACAUAUUUGAUCAAGGAUUUACAUGUUAUUAAAAGAUCUAGCAUUUGUUGCAAAUUCUCGAGUUAAACGUAUUGUAGGUUUAGCCCGAACGAGUAAUCUCGAUAUAAUGUCAGCUUAUGUGAGCAAUCCGGUUAUAAUGUCAACUUAUGUGAGCAAUCCGGUUAUAAUUUCAGCUUGUGUGAGCAUUACACUCCCGUGCAUUUGGGUCUGCUUUACUAAAGUUCUACCGGGCGGUUUUCAAUUUUUUGAAAAUAUAAAUUUAACCAUUGAAUGGAAAAUGAAAUGGUAUUUGGCAAUAUUAGUGUAUGGAUGAUUACAUGACUUUGAUUUGGGUUUGAAUUAUCUAUGAUUUGAGAAGGCAUCUAAUGCAUUUGUUUGAUGUUGGUAUAUGUAUAGAUAUGUCACGAUGUGCCAAAGGAUAGUUAGAAUGAUUGCUUAAUGGAUCAGUUAAUUAUGCCUAAAUGAUCAAGGUAUGUUCUAGUUUCCAUUUGAACUUACUAAGCAUCUUAUAUGUUUACCUAGUUUGUUUUCCCUUUUCCUUGUAGAUUGUCACCUUGUGGAACACGUCAAGCCGGAUCGUUUCGAAGCUCAGACUACCCUAUCACCGGAUUAGUACCUAUUUGAUCAUUUUGAGUCAAAGAAUGUGGCAUGUAUAUAAGUGUUUUGGUGAAACAUGUAUCUAUUUGAACUUGGCAUAUUAAAGAUUGUGAAAAGAGGUAAAAGAAUGGCACAUUAAAGAUUGUGAAAAGAGUUGAUGUAUGCAUUGAAAUGGUAUGCUUGAUGAUUUUGCUUGAGGUAUAUGUUGAUGAAUGGUCAAUUUUGUUCAUGUUUAAUGUCAUAGAAGUGUUUAUGAAUGAAUUGUGUAUGAAUUGAAAGUGAAAUGGUAUGUUUUGAUAGAUUUGGCAUAGGUAAGGAUAGGUAUUUCUUGGUUGGCAUGCCUUAAUGACAUUGAAAUACUUAUGUUUAAUUGAUGUAUAUGGAGUAAAUGUCUUGUUAAGAAGUUGAAUUUGAGUGUUUUAAUGUGUUUGGUAUGUUACUGGUAUGUUUUGAAUCAAUUGAAGUUGGUAUUUGGUGAAUAUCUUGAAAGGAUUUGUUGGAAACUUUGGCAUAAGUACCAAAUUGUGCAUUUUUGCCAAAAACAAGGCCCAUGUCUCGAUGAACAACCUACCUCGUUGCAAUGUCAGUCAAAAGUAAGUGACAUCAUGACGUCGAGUGGCUUGAAGUCGUGACGUGACACACUAUUUUGGCAACGUCACGAUGUCAGCCCUGAACUUUUAAAUCUUUGCAAUUUGGUCAUAUUUUGUGCUCGAGUUAACAAAAGAGAUUUUGUAAGCUUGAUUAAGACUUGAAAAUUGAUUGUUUGACAUUGGAUUGCAUGUGUAAAAGAUCAUUUACUGUGUAUUUGACUAUAGUUGCUCCAGUAAUGAAUGUAGCAUCCGGUAGCUCGAAUUCAGUGAUCGGGUCAGGCGAGGGGUGUUACAAAUUAAAUUAACAUAAUUAAGUGAUAAUAUUAUAUGGUUAUUUUAUCUCUAAUUAAUUAAAUUAAUAAGAGAUAAAUAAUAAAUAAUAAAUAAUAAAUAAUAAAUAAAAGAGUUUAAUUCUUGUAGAACACUCAAAUGAAGAAGUUAAAAUCUACUAUAAGUCUCUUCAUUGACACUACAAAAUGGGUCAUCUCUAAGCCAUUCAAUAUAAGUUGACAAGUUCAAAAAGUCAAGAGGAUUUGCAAAAAUCUUUGGAAAAAAAAUGAAGAACUUGAAAAAAAAUCUAAAGGAAGUCGCAGUAGUUCUCAAGAAAAGCCACCUUUUGAAAGUUGUUGUUCGAUCCAAUUCAACUAAAGAAAGGAAGUCCGAACCCGUUUUCAAAAUCAAGUCUCAACAACCCUUGAAGCAAACCAUAUCUUUCCAAGAUCAAGUCAGAGGACCAUUAGAUCGAAGUCAAACUGGAGAGAAGAAUCAAAUGAUUUCUUUGUAUUUAAGAAACUUUCAGAGGUUGUAAUUUUCUUUUCAAUUUAUCAAUAAAAUUUUACUAUGAAUUUUCAAGUCAAAAUUCAACUUAAAAUUUGUGUGACAAAUAUUUAAAAAUUUAUUAAAAGACAAUGUUUAAAAAAAAUUAAAAACAUUUACUUUAAUCCCCCACAUAUUAUCAUGUUAAUAAAAUAAAAGUUUGAUAGAGAAACACCUACUAAGCGAAUAAAUAGUUUCCCCCUAUUUUAGUUAUUAAUUAUUAUAUUUAUGUAAGAAAAACUAAUGUAAUAAAUUUAUUCAUAAAAAAACUAAUUAACUCUAAGAAUAAUCAUCAAACCCACACGAAUCUCUUCUUAUAAUAUAUUUCAACAUUAAUAUAUGGUCACGGCCUAAUUUCACUUAUAGUCACUUCUCAACCCUUAAAUAGGAGGAUAAUACGCUUCGACACACUUGAGUUAUCGUCCUCCUACACUAACAAUAAUACCGAUAUCAAUCAAAUUAAAACUCAAUCAACUUUUCUUAUAACAUAUAAUCUUUGAUUAAAGCAGUUAAAUGGUAGAGGUGGCGGACUUGCCGCUGCCGAAAUUAGGCAUACUUGGUUCGGCAAAAACUAAAAGCAUAUAUAUGGUCACGGCCUAACUUCACUUAACUUAGCCCAAUCCCAACUCAUACCGCAACAUAACCACCCACCCAACUGGCAUUUGUUUGUCCAAAUUUUCAAUGGACCAGAUCUUAGACCCAAACAUAUAUGGUAAUGAAAGAGAGUGAAAGCCGGGGGGAGUUUGCCAAGGAGUCUGUCCAAAUAUGUUAAGUUGAUGGGUUGCUGGUUUUUAUAUCUCCAAACCCAACUUCCCCAAAACUCAAAUAAAUAUACUCAUUAUUCAAAACUCAAACCCUACCGAGCCAUGUUAAUCGAAUUGAAAUAAAAUAAUGCAACAGAGUACUCAAUUGAGCACAUGAUGUAAUAGGAGACAUCAUAGCUUAGAAAUUUCAUCCUUACGAAUUUUAUAAAAACUAAGACCUUAACAUAUACAUGAAUUUCAACUAUUAUUUUUAUUAAUUUUUUAUAUAUAAAUUAUUAAACUAUUGAUUUUUGUUGAACCAUUAAUUUUCUUUUAAAAAAACAAAGAGUAAUAAAUUUUAGAACAGUAAUUACAUCAAUAUCAUAUUGUAAAUUAUUCAGAACGAAAGUAUCAAUUUGUUGGGGAGGAGAAGCAAACUCAUGGAGAUCCAAUUAAUAGUCAAACAUUUUACCCGCUAAGGCAUUAGCCACUCCAUUAGCUUCUCUGUAAAUAUGCUCGAUGCGAAUCACCCCUGCUCAAGCGCAAAGCUCUUUUAUUCUGCAUAUCAAUACCCUGUUCAUUACGCCUUUAUAGUCACCAUUGAUUACUUGAACUACAAUUAAACAAUCACAUUCCAAGACAACCAUUUUUCACCCUUUAGACCAAAGCAAUUUAAGUCUAUUAUACAUUGCUCAAAGUUUUGCUUGUUUAUCACUACAUUUCCCAAUAUUGCAACCGUAGCCAAAUAUCCAUCUGUCAUGGUUGUCUCUAGCAAUCCCAGCUAAACAGGUAAGUCCAGUAUGAGGUUUCCUUGCGUCGUAUGUGUUCAUUUUGAUGCAACCAGCUAUUGGUAGCUGCCAAGUGCUUGGUCUGAUUCGGUUUUUAACCUUGACCAUUGGUUCUCUAUUAGCUUUAACAUUCACAGCCCAAUUCUAAGCCGAUCCCACAAGCAUACAAGAGUUAUGAGAAAAAAUUCCAAAAAUAAAAGAAUUCCUUCAUUUCCAUACAAACCAAUAUAGUAUAUCGAAGAGGAUAUUCCAAUUAACAUGAAUUGCAAAUUCAAUUUAGAUUAACAUUCACCCAAGAUAAAAGUGACGGGGAGAAAAAUCUGGAGUAAAUUAAAUUUGAAAUGAACUACUUCCAUACUUUCUGAGCUUUGGGACACUCGCAAAGUAUACGAAGAAACAUCCACAAAAACAGCAACCAGCGUCAUCCACAAAAUAAUCAAAAAAGCUCUAACAUAUGUAUAAUGCAGCAGAUUGGCACCCAAAAAUAAUGUACAAGUGGAAUGUGCCAAUGUGGUGAUGAAAAAUGAAAAUGGUAAAACCCUAAAAACAUGGAAGUCUUAAUAAGUUAGCAUGUGAUGGAUUUACCAAUUCGAUAGGUACAGCUUUUUGGUUGCUGUCAAAUCUCUUGUGUGUUUUUUUUAAAUUACUAAUUGACAUUAACACAUGACAGCUUUCUCUCAUGUUUUUCUUUCCCAAAUUAAUCAAGAUUUUUGCACUUCUAGGAAUUUACUAAUAUUUCUGUUUUUUUACUAAUAUUAUAUGUCUAGGAAUUAGGAACUUGGCAUCUUACUAGUAUUUUUUUCUUUGAAAAAACAAGGGUGUUAAGGGACAACAAAAUCAUGCCAAAUCCUAUCGCUAAUAUUAAUGGAUUCAGUACUGGUGUUCUUCAAUUUUUGGCUUCAAUUCUAACGAAAGGAUAAUGACACAAGAAGACGAAUUGGAUUUGCACUUCAUCAAUAAAUUUGAAAAUUGAGUUUAAUAGAUAAUAUUAAUAGUUGAGAUUGUAAGAUACAUUGUACAUUUAAGGAGAAAACAUAGAUUCAAACUUUAAAGAUAACAUUGUUGAGAGGAGUAGCCACAACCCCUAAACAUGCACUGUAAAACAAACAUGCAAAAUAUAAAAAAUACUUUUAAGUAGAUGCCAAUGAAUCUGAUUAGGUCUACAUGUAACAUCACUUGCACUUGAUUUGGUUCAAAAUAUAAGUUUUAAAUAUUACCUAAGCUAAAUAAAAAAAAUGAAUUUUAAAUUUUGUUCAAUCCAUCUAUAUUUGUAUAUGGUUAAUCCAAACAUAUUUAAGUUUGUCUAUAUUAUUUUAUAAUUUUUAAAAUAAUAUAUUUAUUUAGAAUUCAGUAAUUGUAUAUAUAUUAAUUAAUUCUUUUUUAAACAUAAAUAAAAUCAUAUAUCUUAAUAUUUACUUUAUAGUAUUAUAUAUAUAUUUCAUACAAAUAUAUAAUUUUUAUAUGAUAUAAAUUAUAUAAUAUAUAUAAGAACAAACAAAAGAAUAAUGCAUUAUAGAAUUAAAAAGGUCGAGCUGGCUUGGGUCUUAAAUAUUGGAGCUCAAACCUACCCAUUUCUAGACGAGCCUAUUUUUGCCCAAGCCAUUUUUUGGACCUAAUAAUUUUUUUUAAAAUCUUCUCAAAUCAAAUGAGCCCUUGAGUUUGAACAUAUAAUUUCAUGUUUGGAUAUGUCUAGUUUCAAGUAAUACAAAUAUAUAAUUUUUAUAUGAUAUAAAUUACAUAAUCUAUAUAAGAACAAAUGAAAGAAUAGCGCAUUAUAAAAUUAAAAAGGGUUGAACUGGGCUUGGGUCUUAAAUAUGGAAACUUAAGCCUACACAUUUCUAGACGAGUCUAGAUUUUUGUCAAAAUCCACUUUUUGGGCUUAAUAAUUUUCAUGAAACCUUUUCAAAUUAAAUGAGUCUUUGAGUUUGAACAUAUAAUUUGACCUUUAAAUAUGUCUAAUCGGUUUUUCAAUUUUGUUGGGAAAGGAUAGGAACUGUUUAGGGGGUCAAAUUCGUGAUAAAUGUCAAUUAAAAAAUUGAACACAAAUCCUUUACCAUUCAACGUUGAAUCAAUUUACAAAUUUGUGGAAUCUUUAAAUUAAAGUCAAUCAAUGGAUUUUUUUUGGCAUAAUAAUAAAUUUAUUCCAUAAUAUUUAUUUAUUUUAUCACUUUAACUAUAGUGCUUUUGGAUUACCUUGACCCCUAAUCUUUAAAAUUUAAUCGAAUUGCUUUUUCUUAAAUAAGAAUAUUGUUUAAAUUGUUAAAAUUUUAAUGGCAUGGAUAUUGCAGUCUGUUUGGAAAUUUUACAUGUAUUUCAUUAUUGAUGUAGGUUAUUUAAAAAAUUAUGAGAUACGUGUGAACUGUCACAAUAACAACCACAUCCAUGGCAUUAAAAUUUUAACUUUAUGUCAAAAAAACACAAUUUAACUAAAUUUAAGGUGAAAUUUUAGAAAAGGAAAAAAGAAUAGAAGCUUGUCAACUUUUAAUGAAUGGGGUUAAGAUGAAAUGGAUGAGAUAUGGUGAUAACCCACUACUACUUUCAAAAAUCCAUGUGGGGUCAUUUUUGUUUGAUUUUGAUUAUCUCAUUUAUUUUCCUCCAAAUUUAUUACAUUUGGUCUGCUUAUAUGCAUUGUCACUAAAACUAAUUAAAGAAAAGUUAUCCGUGACGAAAUUUUGUCGGCAAAAUCUUGUGUUCAAUUUCUUACUGAUGGAUUUAUAUUGGUUGGUGUUAGAGUCCACUAACCCUCGUAUUAAUUAAUAAAAAGAAGAAGGAAUUUGAUAAAUUGAUGCAUAAUUAAUUAAAUCUUUUCUUCUUUUUCCUAUGAUUUUGGUACCAAUGUAUGGUUAAGUGGGAGAAGAUGGAAAUUCCACUUUCAAAUCGAUUUUUGUUUUUAAUAAUUCAAAGUUUAUACAAAAGACCCAUUAUCCCUUUUUAAUUGAAGUAAUGCCCUAAUAUCACUUUAGUAAUUGAGUAUAUGAUCUCAAAUGCAAUAAAUGUUAUAGAAAACUACAGACUAAGUUUUUCUUUUUUUCUUUUUAUGGAGACGAAUAAAUCAUUAUUAUUUUUAAUUUUUAAAAAAUUAAAUUAUCUUUCUUUCAAAAUAUAUUAUUUUAAAAAAAAUUCACUCACAAAGUAGCUGCGAUGAAUUCUAAUUUUUAAAAAUUAAUUAUUUUAUAGCAUUUGUAUUUAUUAAAAAUAAUUCUUUUAAGGGAAAAAAGAUAUUUUAUAGUAAGAGCAGCAAAGAAAGUCAAGAUUUGCUUUAAAAAAAAUGUAAUAUAGAAGAUUGUAAAAGAGGCACCUAACUUACUAUAAAGUAGUAGCGAAUAUAUGAUAUAUAAAGCAACGAGAAUUAAAAAUAAAAUAAACUUGUUAUACGGCAAUUUGGGGGAAAAAAGGAAAGGUGUUCAAAUAUUCAAAGUAAGCCCAAUGCCCCCAUCAUUUUGGUCGUUUAUUUUCAAUAUACUUUUACAAAUUUAUUUAUGGUAAUUAGUUGCAAUUUUAGUUUUGGAUUUCAUUAUAUAUAAAUGGUAGAGUUGAUAAAUAAAUUCCAUAUAAUAUAUUUUUGAAAAGUAUCAAAUUAUUUUAAUUUUUUUAAAUUCAUUACUAAAUAUCUAACAAAUUAAUAUAUGGCUUGGCUUCAAUAAAAAAAUCUAACAAAUUUCAUGGUUUAAGAAAUUAUCAUGAAUGUUUUAUUUCUAAAUUGUUUACUACUCAAUUUACAGUAUUUUUAAAAUCCAAAUCUAAAUUCUAAAAAUUCAAGUUUAUAAACGCAACCUAAUAUUUUUUUUGGCCCAUUGGCAAGAGCAUUACAUUGUGGGCGUGCGAGCUUGAGUUUAAUCCCAAGUAACCUCAUUCCUCUCUCUAAUUAUAAAAAUAUAUAUUUUACAAAAUAUAACUAUAUAAGUCUUGUUGACAGUGGGCAACAAUAAGGAGAGAAGGUGGAGGAGAUGUUGUUCAUGAUUCCAAAAUGAAUCAUUGAUGGUAAGCUUAUUCUUUACCUUAUAUACGGACACUGAUGAAAAAAUUGCUUAUUAGAUCCUUUUAAAAAGUAUAAGAUUAUAAAUUAGUACAAGGAUAAAAUCUAAUUUUGACCUCCUACUUUUUAGUUUUGCCCUUGCUUAUACAUUAAACUAAAACAUGAAUAAACUAAUGUUUGAGGAUGUGUUUGAAAAAUCACCUAAUAAUCGGAUUUAGGUGUAUUUGUUUAUAAUUGCACAUACGUGACAUAUUUGAAAAAUCAUUGUAAUUAAUAGAUCCUCUAAAUUAAGUAUAAUUGGAGCAUCACAAUUACAGUCUUCAAUUCUUAGAGGAGGUUAGGAGGAUGAAAAUUAGAGUAAUUACAAACAAUUAUACUCAAAAUUCAAUUACCCUAUAACUUUCCAAACAUAUUUGUAUCUAAUUUAAAUUUUAUUCUAAAAUUUAAUUAUAUGUUGUUUUCCUAAUCUUGUUUAAAUAAUCCGACAUUUUUAUUAAUGAGAGAUAAUUUUUUAUAUAUUUUUUUAUCUACUAAAUAAUUAACCACUUUACAUAGUGUUUAUUAUAAAUUAUUUAUACUUGGUCAAGGACCAAUAUAUGGUCAAGGACCAUCAUAUAUAUUAGCCAGAGCAGAGGUGAUAACUGGACUUAUUUUAAACAGGUUGAAUAUUUUAAAUUUUUUCGAAUUUAAAUAUUUUUAAAUUCAAAUUAUUUUCGAAUAAUUGAAUAUAUAUACAUAUAGUAGUAGUAGUAGUGUAGACAAAGAUGAUGACAUUGAUACUUUGUUUUUGUUGUCAUAACAAAGAGAUUAGUUGUGUUGUUGCGUUGGUUCCAUAGCCAUAGCCAUAUGUCAUCACUUUGAACUUCAAACCUACGAAAUGUUCAAAACCAGAGAUUAGGUAUUUUGAGCAACUGCUUCUAUAAAAUUAACACAUUUACAACGAUGCUCCAACGGUCUCAUUAUAACUAUCACUUAAUAUAUAUACACACACACACAUAGCUUAUGAUGUUGAUGCCACAUUAAUUAAUUCCUUGAGCAUAAAUAUAAGAAUAAGGAAAAGUGACAGACAUCAACCUAAUUAAAUUUAAAAUUCUCCGACUAUGAUGUAUAUGGGUUAAUGGUAUUUAGACAUCCUUAAACUAUUGUCUAAAUUUUAAAAAGGUUUUAAAUUUUAGAAUGUUUCAAUUGAUCCUCAGAGUAUUAGUAUCAUAUUAAAUCGAGUCUUUCUAUUUGUUUAUCCAUUAUGUUAGGUGUUAAAUGCUAACUCAAAUAUGAUUUGGAGCAUAUUCGAAACGUGUAGAUCACAUUGUAAACACAUGUUGACUUACUGCAUGGAUAGUUUAGAUUUAACGUCCUCUUAAAUUUUGUUGACCUUUUUUAGCACAUCAAAUAUAAUUUGUCCAUGAGAUAGAUACACAUGUAUUUACAAAUUGAUUCAUAUUCUUUUAAAAAUGCUCCAUGUCAGAUCUGAACUAGCGUUUCGCACCUAGGUUGAUAACUAGAUUAGUGAAAGGACUUGACAGUGCACUUAAGGGCUACUUUAAAAUGUGAAAGAUAUUUUGGGUGCAAUUAAUGUAAAUUUUAUGUUUAAGAUAUACCUGCCAUCUUAUAUACUUUCAAUUAUUUAAAUAUAAACAUAAUGAUUCCAUCUCCAUGAAAAUAUUGAGGCUAUAUCUAGCAUCUUAAAGUACUUAUGCAGAGGAAUAGACCUUUGUCUCUUUUCCACCAUUGCCUUAAUUAAGAGGCACAUAAAUGCUACUCUAAAAUCGAAGGUGCCAUAUCAACGGUGAAGUACAAUGCUACCCUUAUUUAUAUUUAUUAAUUGUACAAUUUUUACAUUCACUUAACUUGUUAAUGAACAAAUCUAUUGUCGGUUCAUUUUUGUUUUUGUUUUCUUAGAAAACCAAAAAUAUGUGAAAAUUAUAAAAAACUAUUUUCACUAAAAAUAUUUUGUAAAAUUGAAAAUAAUGAAAGCAAUAACUUUUAACUUCAAAUAGAUUAACCCUAGUUUAAAUCUAUAUAAAUACAAAAGUAAUUUUUUUAAUAAUUUUUAAAUAUUAAAUCUAGUACAUUGAUUCGAAUCUAUAUAAAAUAAAAUUUUAUUUUCAUUUAUAAAACAUGAAAUUUUAAAAAUAGGAAACAAAAAUUAAUUUUGAAAAUGAGAAUAAAAUAAUAAUUUUAAAAACCAAAAGAAUUCUAAAAUUUUUCACCGCUUUUAUUAAUUAAAACACUUGACCAUAUAUAUUUUGACCAAUGGGGAAAAAAAAGAUUUAAAGUAUAAAAUACAAAGAUCUGUUGUUCUGUAAUUAUCAUCUACGUAAGCUUUCUUUGAUAUAAAGGUUAGUUUAAUGAUUGAUCAACUUGUUUGCACUUGCAUUAAUUUUUUAAAUUAUUAUAAUAUAAAUUUAGUAAUAUAAUGAACCACAAGUGCUAUAUUAAUUAUUCUAAAAUUUGUCUAAACUCGUAUUUUUAUAUACAUUAUAGAUAAUAAAAUCAUAUAAUAAAAAAUGAAUAAUAAAAGUUUAAUAAAGUGGAUCAGGUGCUUGAGUUGUGACAAAUCCAGUUGUCAACGUGUCGUAGUGUUCUAUUGAUGUUGAGGUUGAAGUUUUUGUUGUAUUGAUGGAACUUAUCCUUCAACGCCGACGACGGGUGUUUGUUGUUUUUUGUUCUUUUCCUUGAAUGAAUUAAUGACUUUUCCAUUUUUAAAAAAUAAAUUAAAAAUAAUAUAAUUAAUAAUUAUAUAUGUUUUAUAUUAAAUUUAAAUAAACAAAAUUUUAACUAAUAAAUAAUAAAAGAAAGAAGGUAGGUUUUCUUUGUAAAAUCUGUAAGCACAAAUUUUUUGUUUAUCAUGCGAAAGUUCUACUUAAGUGACAAACAAUAUGUGGGUGAUACUUUUUAUCACAAUAAUAAUUAAUAUAUAAAAAUAAAUAACAAAAAUGUGUUGCUUAGCUUCAGGACCAAAAUUCUCUUGUCCAAUUUAUUCCCAUAAUAACUUAAGGAGAUUAUAUAUAUGGUUCUUAUUAGGGAUAAUGACAUGACUUUAGGGUUUGUUCUAAUGUGAUAUUAUCUUUAUUUUUAAAAUAUCUAAUUUACUACUUCAAGUUUUAAGUUUUAUUCAUUUGAACAAUUUGGUAUAUGAUCCUAAUGAUGUUAACUUUUUUUGUUGUUGUAGUACAUGAGCCAAUCAAAAGAGGGCAUGUGUUCCUUUAUUGACUGCUGGCUUGGCUGAUGGGGCCUCUAAGCAAAUUGUCCCUUUUUUUUUUAUCAAAAUUAAAUUAAAACAAAAAAUAUAUUAUCUUUUUAUUCUUAGAUUAUUUUCGACCUUUCUUCAUUUCUUCACAAACUGUAAAAAAAUAAUAAUUUCAUCAUCUUCAUCUCAAUUGCAACUAAAAUCCCAAAAUUUUCAAUAUAAUGUAAAAGAAAAAGAAGUAAAUGAAGUUUAAAAAAAAAAAAUUGAAAUCCAAAUACGAUCAUCAUCUUCUCCAUUCUGUUCCAAAUUAUAAAGCUCAGAAAUUGAACAAAAUGAACCCCACCAUAUGUGUAUAACAUAGCCCUAAAAUAGUGAUGUUACUGAUGACACUACCAUAAGAGGUGAUAAAGGAAACUUUGAAACACCGUUAUCGCCAGCAUGCAUCCUCUUGAACAAACAUGACAGGUAUGUGUUUUAGAGGUGAAUAUGGUUUAUGCUUCUUGAAACUCAAAGUUUUUUUGGAGCUCAUUCCUACCAUAUGAACAGUACUAUUAGGCUUAGUUGCCUCAAUACGAUUUUCUUCCGGUAGAAGAUGUCGAUAAGCAUCCUCCAAAGUUUUGAUGUUCAUAUUGUGGGUAAGGUGCACUUUCAUGUAUUCCAACUAUGAGGUAAGGACCAAAUAAGUGCUUGAACUUGUUGUUCAUCUGUAACAGCCCAUUUUCAGUGAAAAUCAGAACAGUAGUUUUGGGACUACAAAUUUGAGUUAGAAAGAAAAAUUAUUUUAAUAGUAUUGCAUGGUCUGCAUUAUGAUAGGAAUGACGUAUAAAAAUUUUGUUAAGAAAAAAUUUACUGAUUACAUGUUAAAUUGAUAAAAGGACCAAAUUGUAUGAAAUGCAAAAGUUGAGUUCUAGUAGAUAUAGGUAUCAAAUAGCUAUGGGAUUCAAAACUUGAGGUCCUUAUAUGGCAAUUAGACCAUUAAAUGGAGUUAAUAGAUAAUUAUGAUAAUUCAUCCAUGGAAGUUUAAGAAAAGAAAAUGACUAAAUUGGAAAUUGAAAUAAUUAAAGAUGAUAAUAAUCUAAUAUCAUCUUAUUUUCAUCAUCUUCCCCAAAUUUUUUUUAUGAAAACCCUACCUAAGAGAAAAGAACUCAAGCAAGCUUAAUUGGGUAAGUACUCUUGUCCUGUUUUUAGUAAUUUUUAUAUUUCUGAGAUCAUAAUAACCUAAUCUAGUUAAUUUGGGGAUUAAUUUGCAAAUUUAUCAAAGUAUUAAAAUUUUUCCAUGGAUGAGUAUGCUGAAAUUUUGAAAUUCAUGGUAGAAAAUGAAAGGUUGUUGAUAGAUAAACAACUUUUGUAAAGAAAAUUUCCAUGAAAUUGUGAUAUAGGGAUUAAAUUGAAAAGAUAUAAAAUUCAUAGAAAAUUUUUUAUUUUUGUGAAAUACAUGGACUGUUAUUGUUACAUGUAAAAAUCAGUUAGGCUUGGAUUAAGGAUUAAAUUGCAUGAAUUUCAUUUUCCGAGCCUAGGGAUGAAAUUGGAAUUAAUUAAAAGUAUAGGGGCAAAAUAGUACUUUUGCCUAAGAUGUGACUUGGGUUGAUUUGAAUAUGAAAUGUAAUAAAUUGAUGAUUGAAUUCGUUUAUAUAUAGAUCCAGAAAGAUCAAAUAAGGAGUUAGAUCGAGGAAAAGAAAAAGUGUCGGAUUAGUAGAUUUUCAUACACGAGCAAGUGUUGAGGUAAGUUCGUGUAACUAAAUUGUGUAUAUUUAUAUGUUUGAAUUAAAUGUUGUAUAUGUGAAUAUUGAAUUAUAUAAUUAUUAUGUUUAUGAAAUUAAUCGUAUAUCUGAAAAAUGCUCGAUAAAUAUUAAAACAUGUUUGAAUACAUGAAAAUCGAUUCGAUACAGGGCUCCCGUAUUGGUUAUGGUAUUGAAUAUGUUGCAGACAUACCAUAGCUCGAAAGAGCGUCCCGAUAUUAGCUCUCAUGAGCAUCCCGAUAUAUGGUUCUUGCGAGCUUCCCGUUAUAGCUUUUCAGAGCGUCUCGAUUGGUUGUGAUCCUACAUUUGUUGUGGACACACCUUAGCUCUUAUGAGCGUACCAAAUAUGGCUUUUCGUGAGCUUCCUGUUAAAUUGGCUCUUUGUGAGCUUUUCGUUAUGGCUCGCUUGAACUUCAUGACAUAUGGCUAACUAUCCGGAGCUUCCCAAUUAAUGGCUCUUCAGAGCUACUUGUUAUAGGCUCGCCCGAGCUAACUGAAUACAGCUCUUAUGAGCUUCCUGUUUUAUCCCGGAUAACCUUCCUAUUUAUGUGCUUUUAUAAGCACUCCCGGAUAGGAGUUGACAUAUUUACCAUAUUGUACACUUUGUGUGUAUUACCCAUGUAUCCAUCGAUAUUUUAAAUGAUUUAACGGGUAAAGUUCCGGUAUGAGAUGAUAUGAAUUCAAGAUAAGUGACUAUGAAAAAUACUUGAUAUACAAAAAUAUGAUUCGUACAUGUUCAUUGGAAACUUGAAAUGAAAAAUAUAUGUAUGUAGAAAUGGAAUAUUGAUGAGCUCAUCUAUAUUUCUUGGCAUUUAUAUGAAUUACAUAACUAACGUGCUUGAUGAGGAUGUAUAUGUGUUUAGGUUAUUGAUUACAUUGAUUUGGGUGUACUAUGUAUGCUUACUUUAAAUGAACAUGAUUGGUAAGUUAAAUUUCUAUUAUACGAACUUACUAAGCAUUAAAUGCUUACUCUGUUUUAUUUCCUUUAUUUUAUAGUACUCGGAAGAUCGUCAAGGUUGGAGCGGGUCGGAGCAAGAUCACACUAUCCUUCAGCUCUUUUUUAUAUAAAUAGAAAACUUUAAAUAGAAUAUAAUGGCAUGUAUAUGUUAAAUUGGUCAAAUGUUGGCAUAUACAUGUUUUGGUUGAAAAUAGCCAUUGGAAUGACUUGUAAUGGUCAUGUUUUGAUAUAUAUAUGGUAUUAUUAUGUUUGAGGUAAGAAUUUGAUUAUGCAUAUAUGUAUUUGGUAUCUAGGUAAGUAAAGCUUAUAAUGACAUAAUAAUAAAUUAUUUAUUGGAAAGCCUAAGGGUACAUUGAUUGUAUGUGUAGAAUGCUUAGGUAUUUUCACACGGAUAGAGAUACGGGUGUGUGCGCACACUGGUGUGUGUCUUGGUCAUCUGACCCCUGCUCCUAAUUAUUGUAAAUUAAAAUGUUCACACGGCCUAGCACACGGGGGUGUGGCUUGGCCGUGUGACCAAGUCAGUAUACCCCCUAAAUUGGACAUAGGUUGGGACACGACCGUGUGCCUCACAUCAAAUGCCCACACAGAUGGAACACGGGCGUGUCACUUGGCCGUGUGAGCCACACGGUCUGGCCACACGGGCGUGUGUCCCCUGCAUAUAAGAAAAAUUUUAAAAUUUUAUGAAAAAUUAUCUAAGUUCCCGAUUUAGUCCCGACUUGUUUCUAACGCAUACAUUGGGUCUCGAUGAUCCAUUUAAUGGACAAUAUGAUUGAAUAUGUUUGAUUUCAAAUAUGAAUACUAAAUGACACAAGUUAUUUGUAGUUGAUCUGUAAACUCUGAUAAUACUCCGUAACCCUGUUUUGGCGACGGACAUGGAUUAGGGGUGUUACAUCAUCAAACAAAGUGUGACUUACAUCGUUCAUCUUACUUUUUAUGUUUGAUAUUUCUUUUAUAUGUUGUCUCAUAUUAUAAUUGGAUUUUUUCUUGUAAGUGUCAAACUUGAUUGUGAGCUAUCUAACUUUAGUGAUCGAUGUGCCACCAAAUUUCACUUUGAGUGCAAUUCGCAUUUCUUUUGCGACCUCAUGCUUUUUGAACUCAUGCUUGAUAUCAUUGUCCAUACUGCUUAACAAUGUUAUGGGAGCUAUGGAAUUUUUCCUUUAUCAGACAUCAUAAGCCUCUUGGUCCCUUUUAUUUUGGGUAGUAUUUCCUUCUUUAGGCUCUUGUAGAACAUUAUUCAAGAUUUUUGUGAACUUGUUGUUCCUCUGGUACAUAUUGAAUUUUCAAACUCCAGAUUUUAAAGUUUUCUUUAUUGAGCUUUUCACCUUUGUUAAGUUCAACAACAAUAUUUUUGAAAGCAAAUGUCAUAUCAAAAUAAAGAUAUUCUAUAUGAAAAAAUACACAUGUUAAUGUCUAGUAUACACAAUUUCCAUUUAUUUAUUAUCACAAUAAAGAAACACAGUGAUAUUUAUCAUAUUGUAUAGAACCAAUUGUAUAGUAAGUUUAACAGUCAAAUUCUAUACAAAUAUUCUAAUUGUCACUAAUUUAUUUUAUUGUAGUUUUAGAACUCCCACUGUUUGUAAUUGUGUAAGUAUAACAUACUAAAGGCAAAAUGAUUAGAAAAAUUAUAAGAACAUAAAUGAUAGUAUAACUUAAUAAAAAUAAAUGUGUAACACCCCGUGUAACACCCCAAACCCGUCCUAAAAGUUUAAGCCGAAUCUGGACGAGUUACACUAACGUAGUAAAAACGUACCUCUUUUUCAGAGUUUUAACUUUGAAAACCAUAAAUUCAUUUUAGUUGAUUUAGAUGAUUUUGUAGUUUCGUUUUAAACUUGGCAAAUACUAACGAGAUUAUAAAAAAGAAAAAUAAGACAAGUCCAAAAUAGAUUACAAAUCCAAAGGAUUAAAUUGUAGUUAACUCAGUGCAAAACAAUCCGAGCUCCUGCAUGUCGUCCGAUCCUAAAUCAGAUGCCUUCAUGACAAAUAAAAGUAGGACAAAGGGUGAGUCACCAAGCACCGCGUAUAACCAAACUCAAAUACAAAUAAACAAAACGUGAUAUGUAAAUCAUAGUAACACAAGCAUUUGAUAACAGUUGUAUAACGAGUAUGAAACAUAUCUAGAGCAGAACAACGCAAUUCAAACAGAACAGAACCGAAUAGAGCAGAACAAAAUAAGUGUCAAACUUGAUUGUGAGCUAUCUAAGUUUAGUGAUCGAUGUGCCACCAAAUUUCACUUUGAGUGCAAUUCGCAUUUCUUUUGCGACCUCAUGCUUGAUAUCAUUGUCCAUACUGCUUAACAAUGUUAUGGGAGCUAUGGAAUUUUUCCUUUAUCAGACAUCAUAAGCCUCUUGGUCCAUUUUAUUUUGGGUAGUAUUUCCUUCUUUGGGCUCUUGUAGAACUUUAUUCAAGAUUUUUGUGAACUUGUUGUUCCUUUGGUACAUAUUGAAUUUCCAAACUCCAGAUUUUAAAGUUUUCUUUAUUGAGCUUUUCACCUUUGUUAAGUUCAACAACAAUAUUUGUAACAGCCCAAUUUUGACCCUAAUCGGAAUAGUGGUUUCGGGACCACAAAUCCGAGUUUGAAAAAUAUUUUAAUAUUAUUUUGUGUGUUUAUGAUGUGUGAAUUUAAAUGUGUGAAAGUUUCAUGAAUUAAUUUUGUUGUUUAUGUGUUUAAUUUGACAAAAGUAUCUAAUUGCAUAAAAUGUGAAAUUUGCUUAUUAAGGUGUGAAGUGUUUAUUUGAUAGUGGCUUUUAAAUAUGAGGUUCUUAAAGGGCAAUUAGCCCAUUUUAAAGGAUAGUGGGUGGCAUGAUUGUUAAAAUAUAUAGUUUUUAUAUAUUAAAUAUAAAAGUUAAAAUAAUAAUAGUAUAAUAUUAAGUUAUUAUAUCAUAAAACAUUAAAGAAAUAAGCCAUGUUAUUCAUUUUUUUAUCACCGAAACUAGAAAAGAAAAUUAGGUUUGAAGCUUUAAAAUAUUCGGCCAUUGAAGACUUUGAUUAACGUAUGUUUCUGUUUCGAUUUUUGAUAAUUUUUACGUUUUUUAGAUCGUUGUUUUAAAUACUUCAAAACCCAUGUCUUAAUUUUGUGAAUUGUUGAUGAUUUUGAAAUGUGUCAUUGAUGAAUGUUUGAGUUUCAUGAUGUUAGUUGAUGAAAUAUGAAAUAUAAGUGUUAGAUAAACAUGUUUUGUCUUUGAAUUUUUAGUGAAUUUGAGUAAUUAGGGCUAAAUUGAAAAAAUAAAUUUUGAGGGACUAAAAUGCGAAAUAAAUGACAUGCAUAGACUUAUAUGAGCUUAGUGCAUAUUCGGCCAAGCUAUUGUGCAAUGAAAAUUUAAUUAUUUUGUAUUUUGUGAAAUAGGGACUAAAUUGUGAAAAAUGUGAAAUGUCAGGGGAAAAAAUGUAAUUUUCCAAUUUAUGUGUUCUUAGACUAAAUUAAAUGAGAUUUAUUUGAAUAUGUUUAGAUCAAGAAACCAAGAAAUCAGAUUUAGAUCGGGAGAAAUCGAAAGUAGUUGAGUAGCUGAUCUAUUAGUCGACGACAUCCGAGGUAAGUUAUUAAGCAUAUAUUUUGUAUCGUUUUAAAUCAUCUUAGUAUCUAUGUAAUUAUGCUGAAUUGAAUGGUAUAUAUAUACAUGUAGUGAAAAAAAUUAUUGAAAUAAGAUGUAUUGAAUUGUUGACUUUCGGCACUAAGUGUGCGGGUAUAAAAAAAUUAUGAUAAUGAGAUUAGCACUAAGUGUGAGAGUUUAAUUGUAAAGCAUUAAGUGUGCGAGAUUGAUUAUUAAGCACUAAGUGUGCGAACUUAUUAAAUAUUUUCGAAUAACUAUUAGUAUUGAGUGUUCGACUUAUUGAGUAAUCAUGAUUAGUAUAAUGAGUAAAUAAUUGGAGUUCUUGAGUAAUAACCGUUGUGGUUGUAUCCAAGGUUGAGCUUUGUAAGUAUUAAACCUAUAUGGUGAUUAUAUUUGGAAUCAAAUAUAUAAGAUGAUUCUUUAUAUCACAUGAUGAUGAAAUGCAUAAUGUAUUUGGCCUUGUAUUUAAAUUUGAAGAAAUAUUUAUGGUUGAGUAAUUAUAUUGAUUUUAGUUAAAUCAUAGUAUUAAGUUAAUAAUUAUCUUAUGAUAUGGUAAGCUAAAGGUAAGAUGAUUUAGUAGUAUGAAUUGGUUAAAUAUUAUUCGAGAUAUCAAGUUAAAUUGUAAAGUUUAUUUGCUUGUAACUUACUAAGCUAAAUUAGCUUACAAUGUGUUGGAUAAUUGUUUUGAUGUAUAGAUUUUGGUGAUUGCUACGUGUUCGGGGAUCGUUUGUGAAGCUUGUCACACUAUAGUCUAUAUUUUGGUAUUUUACUAAGUUGUUUUCGAAUAAAUGGCAUGUAUAGCGUAAUGAAAAUGUUGAUUUUGUAACCAAUGUAUAUAGGUGUAAUUAAUAGCCAUGCAAAAAUGGCUUAUCUCUUUUGGUUUGAAUUCAAUAUUAUUGCAUAUGUUUUAAUGGUCUAAAAUGUAGUAUAUGUUCAUGUUAUUUUGAUGCUUAAAUGCUGCCCAAUUCGUUGUAUUUAUGCUGCCCAAUUCGUUGUAUUUAUGCUGCCUAAAUUGUUGUAUAUAUACUGUCCAAUUUUGAUGUAAAAAUGUUGCUCAAUUUGGUAUAUAUACGCUGCCUAAAUUGUUGUAUAUAUGCUGUCCAAUUUUGAUGUAAAAGUGUUGCUCAAUUUGUUAUAUAUAUGCUGCCUAAAUUGUUGUAUAUAUGCUGUCCAAUUUUGAUGUAAAAAUGUUGCUCAAUUUGGUAUAUAUAUGCUGCCCAAUUUGUUGUAUAUAUGCUGUUCAAUUUUUGGUGUAAAAAUGCUGCUCAAUUUUGUUGUAUAUAUGCUGCCCAAAUUGUUGUAUAUAUGCUGUCCAAAUUUUGGUGUGAAAAUGUUGUCUAGUUUGGUAUAUAAAUGCUAUCCAAAUUGAUGUAUAAGGGCUGUCCAAACAGGGUAGAUUACCUAUGUUGUAAUAUGUAGUAUAGUUAGUAAAUUGAAAUGAAAUAUGUGUACAAAUAAAUGUUUGGAUAUAUAAUCAUUUAUGUUUGGAAAUGUUUUAAGAAUUCGAAUGAUAUUAAAUUUUGAUUAGGUAAAUGACAAUGAUGUGGUUGAAUUUUUGAAACAUGGUUAGUUUAUGAAAUUUGAUUAAUGAUGCAUGUUGAUUUUAACUGGUUAUGUGAUUAAACAUAUAUAUAUACAUAUAUGUGGAAUGAAAUUUCGUGGUUGAGUUGGUAUAAUUUAUGAAAUAAAAAAAUUUUUGAGUUGGGUUUUUGAUCGGUAAUGCCUCGUAACUCUAAUCCGGCGACGGACACGGGUCGGGGUGUUACAAUAUUUUUGAAAGUAGUUGUCAUAUCAAAAUAAAGAUAUUCUAUAUGAAAAAAUACACAUGUUAAUGUCUAGUAUACACAAUUUCCAUUUAUUUAUUAUCACAAUAAAGAAACACAGUGAUAUUUAUCAUAUUGUAUAGAACCAAAUGUAUAGUAAGUUUAACAGUUAAAUUCUAUACGAAUAUUCUAAUUGUCACUAAUUUAUUUUAUUGUAGUUUUAGAACUCCCACUGUUUGUAAUUGUGUAAGUAUAACAUACUAAAGGCAAAAUGAUUAGAAAAAUUAUAAGAACAUAAAGGAUAGUAUAACUUAAUAAAAAUAAAUGUGUAACACCCCAAACCCGGCCUAAAAGUUUAAGCCGAAUCUGGACGAGUUACACUAACGUAGUAAAAACGUACCACUUUUUCAGAGUUUUAACUUUGAAAACCAUAAAUUCAUUUUAGUUGAUUUAGAUGAUUUUGUAGUUUCGUUUUAGACUUGGCAGAUACUAACGAGAUUACAAAAAAGAAAAAUAAGACAAGUCCAAAAUAGAUUACAAAUCCAAAGGAUUAAAUUGUAGUUAACUCAAUGCAAAACAAUCCGAGCUCCUGCAUGUCGUCCGAUCUUAAAUCAGAUGCCUUCAUGACAAAUAAAAGUAGGACAAAGGGUGAGUCACCAAGCACCACGUAUAACCAAACUCAAAUACAAAUAAACAAAACGUGAUCUGUAAAUCAUAGUAACGCAAGCAUUUGAUAACAGUUCUAGAACGAGUAUGAAACAAAUCUAGAGCAGAACAACACUAUUCAAACAGAACUGAACCGAAUAGAGCAGAACAAAAUAGGAUAGAACAGCUCAGAACAAUACUGAACAGAAUAGAAUGGAACGGAAUAGAGUAGAGCGGAGCAUGUAUGUUUAUGCAGAUGUAGUAUGUUUCAAAUAUAUGUGGUCAAGCCACUAUAGUGCAGUCAAACUGUCGGAACAGAAGUGUGGAUAAACCACUGGAUAAUGCAGAUCAUUAAACUUCCAAAAACUUCCUCCUUUUACUUCAACCCAGGUCCCAUGCAAUGUGUCAUGACAUGCUUAUGUAGAAUCAGAGUAAUGAGCAUGUAAGUCAUGCUAUCUCUCAAUAAUAGAAUCAGUAACUAUGGGAGUUCAUGUUUUGUAAAACAGACUUAUCAAACCUCAACGAACCAUAUCAGAUUUGCCAUGAAGUCACAUGCACGGUUAUAAAUCAGAAUUAGUAACAAUCAGUCUAACAUGUUCAGAUAUCGCAUACUCUUCAUCAACAGAGCAAUGUAGAGGAGUACCAACAAACAUAACAGAAUACAGAUCGUACUUGAUAAUUCGCACACAUAGAUAAUAGCACAUUAUGUUCUGACGAAUCCUACUUGUAGAGCCCAAAUUCUGCCCAGGGCCCAUAUAAACCCUAGCCCAAACCUACCAACCCAAAAAAAUUUACCGACCCAAUUACAAUUACAGACCCACAACCCAAAAUUCAAAAGCCCAAAUGGCCCAAAACGUUUGACAUUUUCAGAAUGCCAGAAACCCUAGGGUUUCUGGCACCGUUCCCCUGCUGCUACCCAUGUGCGCCUUCAGCGCGCACCACACCCGAGGCUGCCACCACCAGCCGGCCUUGCACUAGUAUAGCAAGUUGACUUCGCCCGAACCUGCAACAAAAGACAAACCAAUGCAGCAAAAGAAGACCUGCAAGUGACACAAAAUAGAAACAAGAACAGUGGAAGAAAACAAAAGAACAGUAUAGAACAGUAGCAUGUACUGUAAUCCAAAACGGCUAUAAUAGCCGAAUCAAACAAAUGUAAAAGGGGGGAUUUUCUUUGUAAAAGAGGCAUCAGUUAAUCAAAAGAGAGAGCAAAAUUUUAAGGUUGAAAGAAUCCGAUCGUUCUUUCUUUUUUUGUUUCUCUGUUUUCCGUUUUCUUUUUUAUUUAUUUAUUCAUUUUUUCUACAAAUCCAUUUUUAACAAAUAAAAUAGAAUAAGAAAAAAAGGAGAAGGGAAAUACCUGGAAACGCCGCAAGCCCCGGCAUUGGAAUCUCCCCUUUCGUCUCUUGAAUCGGGUUGAAGGGUGAGGUGAAAGGUCUCUCCUUUUGAGCUUUUUCGGGCAGAGAAGGCUUGGCCUUCGUGGGCGCUUCGAAGCGAGGCUGAAACGCCUCUUUUGCGCAACGCCAGCCACCGGCCACGGCGGCGCUACAGUGGUGACCGGCCGAAUUUUAGGGAGAGAGUUGAGAGGGUGAGAGCCUUUUUUUUUAACAGAAUGGAAGAAAUAAAAAAAAAGAGAAAUUUUGGGUUUUUAUGAAGGAUGCAAAACGGCGUCGUUUGGGGCCUGUUUCAGUGGCCCCAAAACGGCGUCGUAUAGAGGCUGACCCGUGACCCGACCCGCAGCCCACAGGAUCCGCGUGUUUCUGCGGUGAAUGGGAAAAUUGCGCGCGGGGUUCCUUCGAUUUUAUGCUGUUUUACAAUCCGACCCCUUUUUGUUUUAUAAUUUGGCUACAGAAUUUUCUGCGCUUUUCAUUUUAGCCCGUGCCAAAACGCUGCGCAUAACAAUGGGAAUAUUUGCUCAAUCAGCCCUCCGUUCUUUGGUCGCAUUAUAUUUUGGUCCCUGGGGACCCCUUUUUUGUUUAUUUGCGUUUUAAACCCCAAAUUUUUAUUCCAAAAUUUGAUUAAACCUGUUUGUUUUAUUAUCUUAGUUAUUUUAUUAAUAAUAUUAGCCAAUUAGACAUUAUUAUGAUUUUUAUUAUCGUUUGUUACUGUUAAUAUAUUUUUUAUUUGUGUUUACUUAUUUAAAUUUCAAGUGUAUGUGUCUUAUUAUAAUUAUUAUAUGAUUGCUCAUAUUUUUAUAUUUUAUAAUUCAUAUAUAUAUAUAAAUCUAUAUACAUAUUCAUAUUUUUUUAAGUUAUAUGCAUAUUCGUAUGUACAUACCUACAUUAUUGUAUUUUAUAAUAUAUAUGUUUAUAUCUUUUUUGUCUUUAUGUAAUAUAUAUACACGUAUAGACAUGCAUAUUUUCAUUAUAUAUACACACCUAUUUUAAUUCAUACACACAUGUACAUAUGCAUUAUUUAUUUUUAAAUUGUCUUGUAUGUCGUUGAUUUGUCCUUUUUUAUCUAUCUUAUCUUUGAUGCUUUUUGCUUGUAUUAUCAUUUUACUUACAUUAUUAUCAUUGUUAUUCCAUGACGUUCAUUUUUAUUUAGAUGUCAAAAAAUGGAAUUUUAAAAUUAUAAGUAAUAUUCGGUAUUUUAGAUCUCCGAGAGAAUCGAGCCCUAACGUGUUGGGUUCCGACUUUCUUCGUUGAAUUUAAAUAAUCGAGAUUACUCUUUUAAAAAUGAUAAAAAGCUCGUUAUCAAGAAUUCAAUACGUCGUGUCCUAACGCAUUGGAUGUGACACGUUGUUUUCUCGAGACGAGGACUUUUCUAAAAAAUAGUAAGACAAUAUUUUGCGUUUGGAAAUUCGAGGAAACGUGCCCUAAUGUGUUGGGUUUCGAUUUCUCGUUUAAUCAAAUAGCCAAAUAUCUUCUUAAAUCUCAAUCCAUGCCAUUCAAUUUUUUUAAGGAUCGUAUUUUAAAUUUCUUUAAAGUUUUCAGUUUUUCGACACUAAGACAUUAAGUAAUCAACUAGGUAACAAUUUUGGGCGUAUCGAGGGUGCUAAUCCUUCCUCGUGCGUAACCGACUCCCGAACCCGUUUUUCUGAAUUUCGUGGACCAAACUUAUUGUUUUAAUAAAAUCAAAUCAUUUAUUAAAAACAACCACUUUUCGAGGUGAUCCGAUCACACCUUAUCAAAAAGGAUUGGUGGCGACUCCCACGUUCGAUUUCAUUUUUUCAAAACCCAAGUCGACCCCGUAUUCAUCAAAAAAAUGGUGUCAACACUACUCACUUAGGUUCAAACAUAACAGAUAUACGUGGAGAUCACAAGUUGUUCAUCAUUAGUCUAACACGUUUAGAUAUCGCAUAUAUCAUUCGUAUAUCAGUCUUAAAGCAUCAGAUAGUCCUCUUACGAUCAAAUUCAAAUCCAAUUAAAUAAUCUUCUCAACCCAAUUCUAAUCCGUUAAAAUCAUAAUGAAUUUACUUUAAAAGAAUCUACAAGAAAAUAUAUUUAAUAUUUUUGCUUUCAACGGUUCACUAUAAACAAAUGAUUUAUUUUCAUUUUUGAACUUCAUUUAAUUCGAAAAACAUAAAUUCAUUUCCAGGUAAUUUUCAUUUUCAUUUAGGAGAAAAUCAUAAUCAUUUCCAAAUGUAUAGCCUCCAAUCGGUUCCAUGGCCUCACCAUGAUCUUCACUCUUCCCGUUUCAUUCCUUCCAUUCCUCCAUUUCACCAUCCUAUAACUUGAUGAUCGAACACCACAAUAUCCCUCUGCAAGGCCCGAAACUUCGCACAUCAUGGGUGCACACAACAACAUCGUAUGGCGGUAUCUAACAGAAUUAUCACAUUUCCCUUCCUAACUUCAUCUAACCCGUUGUUCAUCCCCUUGCAUGAUUUCCCUUAUCAUGCAUACUAACUUGGAAUGGCAAAUACGCAUAAAUUCAUGUAAGCAUGCACCGCUUCUCACUUAUAACAACAUAUAUAGUUAUAAAAUACAUUCUUUAUUAAAUUAAUUUUCUAUAACAACAUAUUGUCUAAAAUUUUAAGUAAAAUUAUAGUUAUUUCAUAUAAGCAAGCUUAGCAAUUAUAAUUUAUUAAAUAAAAAUAAUCUUAAUUAAAAUAUUAUUUUAAUAAGAUAUUUAAAUUUCACAUGAAAAAAAUCUAUUAAUAAUAUUUUAUAAAAUGAAAAUAAUUGUGAAUGGGUGGAAUUAAAUAUAUCAAUUCAAUAAAAAUAUUCGAAUUUGAAACAUCAUAAACUUAUAAAUUGAUUACUUGAAUUUAAUAACUCAUGAUUAAUUAAUUAAUUUAAUUUCAUAACUUAUAUUAAUUAAUUGAACUUGUUAGAUUUAUAAACUUCAUACUUAAUCAUGUGAAAGAAUGUAAAAGCAAUAAUGCAUACACUUGUUAUACAUAUUUUAAUUUUGUUGAUUUAAUUUUUAUUCGAUGAAAAUUUACUAUAUGUAUUUCAUGGUGGGCCUACAACAAUUCUCUUUAUAACACCAUGUCGUUGUACAUAUAUGAAAAUCAUCUCUUUGUAGCAAACAAAAGCUUACCAAACAAAUAAAGCUGUAAAGAAAGUCCACUGUACAAGUGUUGUGUUGUGCCAGCCAUUAUAAGUAUUGUGGUUGCAUUUUGACUUUCGAGCUUUGUUUUUAGGAUGGUGUUAGUAUUGAAGAUGUGGUUUGUCGUGGGUCUUCUUUUUUCUUCUUUUCACUAUUGGUUCAAAAUUCAGUAUUGAAGUUUGCUAGUGUUUUUUUUUUUGGAAAUGCUUAGUCCUUUUUUUUUAUUAAAAUUUUAUUUAUUAUAGAGAUGUGACUUUUAUAACAUAUUAUAAAAAGAUAAUUAUUGUAGACUUACAAUAAAAUUUAUAUUGUAAAAUUUUAUUAAAUAAAGAAAGUAGAUAUCAAAUCAAUAAAAUUAAAAAAUGUAUUGUAAGUGUAAAUAUUGUUGUUUUUAUGCAUAUUUUAAUUUAAUAAAAUUAAUAUUAUUACAAGUAAAAUUUAUUAUAUAUAGUUAAAGACGAAAGUCUACCAACUUAUUAAUAAGUUUACAGAAUAAGAGUUAAGGUAGAAUAAACUUUUCAUUUAAGCUACACUUUUUUUAAGCUUGUUUUCUAACUCUUGGUAGCCAUUUAAUGUACAAUAAACACAUUGGACAAUGUAGAAUCUUGUCCCCUUGAUAUUAAUGGGUUUUGUUUAUAAAUAUUUUAAGAAAAUGUAUAAAUAAAAAAUACAAUCUUAAUUAAUUAGGGAAUAAAACAAAGUAGAUAAAUAAAACCGAGAAAGCAAUAUAAAUAUUAUUAACUAAGGACUCAUCCACCAUAGAUAAUUUUUAAUUCAUUACUUUAUCCAAUGAAAUCCUUUUUUUUUUUUUUUUUGUUAUAAUAGGCAUGAUUUAUGGUAAAGAGUAUUCCUGGCAGAGAUUCAUAGAAAGGUAGGUCAGCUAUGUCUACCUUUAUGGCACAUUAUAUUGGUGAUAAAGUCCUCACUCACUCACCUUUACAAAGGCUAAGCACGAAGAUGUGCAUCACUAUACGCCACAAAGUUGGGGUUUAGUCGGUUUGCCCUAAAUUCCCAUACCUACUCUAUCUUUCCUAUCUAACUCUAUCAUCUCAAUAUUUCUUUAAAAAAAAGAAUAUUAGUCACUUACAUUUGGAUUAUUAUAUAUAUGCAUCUCUUCUACUUAUGAUGUUGGUUUACAAAUAAAUUUCGAAUGUUUGAUCAAUUAGAUGAUAUUUGAGAAAUUGAAAUUUUAAAUGUUAAAUUUAAGUAAUUAAAUUGUGUAAUUUAUUUUUAAUUUUUAAAACUUUUCACUUUAUUUUAAACAAAGCCAAAUUUAAAAAAAAAAAGGAAAAGAAAUAAAAUAAAAAUAUUCUCAAGUAACUCCUUAUGUUAUUAUCAUUUUUCACACUUUUUUAUAGAAAAAUAUAUUAAGUGGUUUUUAUUACUAUUUAUCAAAUGUGUGUAAAUGUCAUUUUCCUUCUACUUUCUUUUGAAUGCAAGAAGGACUAAAGAAAACGUGUUUGAUUGAAAUUUUGAAAAAUAAGAAUAUGUGAAAAUUGUUUUCACUGAUAUUGCUUUGUAAAACUGGAAAAUGUUAAAAACAAACAUUUUUAACCUUAAAAGAAUUCACCGUGGUUCAAAUAUAUAAAUCUAAAAAUAUUUUUUAUUUCAAUAAUUUUUAAAUAUAAAUAUAAAUUUCUGAAUGUAGAUUAAAUCCAUAUAAAUCUAGAAAUUGUUUUAUUUUAUUUCUAAUGUUUCUAUUAUAUACCAUACUUGUUUUCAUAUUUUCGUUAUUGAAAAUAUUUUUUUUAAUUUUUAUUUAUGAAAUUAUUUUUUAAAAAUAAAAAUAGAAAAUAUUUUAGGUACUAAACGGGGUCUUAAUUUUUAGUUGAUUUAAUUUGAUCAAAUUCUACUAUUAUUUCAUGUACUAUGUGUAAGUUGUGGAUUUAGUCCUUAUAUUUAAUUGGAUCACUUUUAGUCCUUGUACUUUUCAAAUUGUUUGAUUUUAGUUCUUAUACUCUUCGAAUUUCAAAUUUUCAAUAUAUAUAGACCCUAGUGGUAGCAGUUAAAUCCAUUUGGUUAUUUUUUUAAUUAGGCAUCAAUUACGCGUAAAAUUGAAGAUUUAGUAGUCACUGUUCCCCAAUAGCUAAUGAAGCCUUGGCACAAUUGAAGAUUUAGUCCUAGAUCUUGAGUACCUAGGUUCAAGACCCAUCACGUGCAAUUAAAUGUGUAGGUCUUCAAGUCCCACCAUAUGGAGUGAGAUUUAGUUCAAAUUAGUUAGUUCAUAGCCCGGAUUGUUCCAUAUCACAGUUUGAUUCUACAUUUGGUGGUUACUUGGACAUGUAUUUGUAUUUCUACUUUGAUUGUUUUGUACUUGUAAACUUUUUAAAAAAAGUCCUUGUUCGCCAAGUUGAUCUUUCUUAGUUUCUAUAGUUUUCUAAAAUUGAAAUUUCAGCCUUGAUAUAAAUGAUAAUCAUUAAAUCCAUUAAUCGACUUGUUUGGGUGCAAUAUGUGAAAAUAAUAAGUUGACGAAAUAUUACUUGUGCGAUAAUAUGUUUGUCGUGUAAAAUAUUAAAUUGCAUAACUUAAUAAAUUUAACUGUUAUCACUUGAUCAAGACUGAAAUUUCAAAAAUCGAAAAAUAAAAAGAGCAAAUAUAAUUAAAAUUAAAUCCAUUACUUAAGCUGAUCAAGCAACGUGUAGGAGUUGCAGUAAUGUUGAAGUUUUAGUUUACACCUAAUUUCAAGUUAAAAUCCUAAACAAUUCUUACCUCGCCUCCUUAUCAAACCAAAAACAAA
RNAcentral lists this long non-coding RNA (55268 nucleotides) under Gossypium raimondii (Peruvian cotton). RNAcentral's name for it is "long non-coding RNA (GRAI_LNC004794)". Lineage: Eukaryota; Viridiplantae; Streptophyta; Magnoliopsida; Malvales; Malvaceae. The record is from RNAcentral.